UUAGAAACAUAUUUAUUCACGUUAAAAUCAAUACAAAUUAAUAUGGUAUAUUUUAUACCCUUCACAGAGCAAAUAAAGAUUUGACAACGUCAAGAAGGCUUAUGCUUCUAUUGUGGAGAAUUAAGUACACUGCUCAAUAUUAUUCAAAGAAACAAUACUAUCGUAAUACGUGAAGUCUUGCAUGAGAAUGCUCCGGAUACCUGGCUGUAGAAAGAAGAAUGAAAAUUGCAACAACAAAAUCCUGAUUCUAAUAGAAUACUAAUUAAACUCUAAUUAGAUCAUAAUAAUGAUAAGCAAGCUUUAAUCAAAUUCAAAAAAAUCUCAAGAAAUUUCAUACAAACAAUAAGAAUUCUUAAAGAAAUAUUAAAAGGAUCACAAAUAUCACUCAAAUACAUCUCAAUUCAAUCUUAAUUUAAUUCUAAUUAAAAUCCUAUUAAACUUCAUUCAAACUUUAGGCCAAACCUAAUUAAAUCUUAAAUCCUAAUAAAAUCCUAAAUCCUAAAUCAAAUCCUAAACAAACCUUAAACCAAACCCCAACCAAAUCCUAAACCAAAUCCUAACCAAAUCCUAAUCAAAUCCUAAACCCUAAAUCAAACCCUAACCAAAUCCUAAUCUAAAUCCUAAACCCUAAACCAAAUCCUAAUCCAAAUCCUAAAUAAAACUCUAACCAAACCCUAAACCAAAUCCUAAAUCAAAUCCUAAACAAACCUUAAAUUAAAUCCCAACGAAAUCCUAAACCAAAUCCUAAAUCAAAUCCUAAAUCAAAUCCUAAUCAAACCUUAAUCAAACCCUAAACCAAAUCCUAAAUCCUAAAUCAAAUUCUAACCAAAUCCUAAUCUAAAUUCUAAAUCCUAAACCAAACCCUAAUCCAAAUCCUAAAUAAAAUCCUAACCAAACUCUAAACCAAAUCCUAAAUCAAAUCCUAAGUGGACCUUAAACCAAACCCCAACUAAAUCCCAAACCAAAUCCUAAUAAAAACCUAAAUCAAAUCCUAAAUCCUAAAUCAAACCCUAAUCAAAUUCUAAUUCAAAUCCUAAACCCUAAACCAAAUCCUAAUAGAAAUCUUAAACCCUAAAUCAAAUUCUAACCAAAUCUUAAAUCCUAAAUUAAAUCCUAACCAAAUCCUAAAUCCUAAAUCAAACCGUAAUUCAAAUCCUAAAUCUUAAAUCAAAUCCUAAUCCUGCUCUAAAUCCUAAAUCAAAUCCUAAUCUAAAUCCUAAAUCGUAAAUUAAACUCUAAUCAAACCCUAAACCAAAUCCUAGUAAUUCAUAUAACAGAUUUAAAUCUCAAUAACUAAUGAAUAAAUUGUUGAUCUUAAUUCAAAAUUUGCACACUUCUUAAAAAUUAACUUAAAAACAAAAAAAAAAUAAUUAAAAAAGGAUCGGAGUUACCAAAUUGAUGUUAACUUCAAAAAUGUGCUUGAGUAUUGAUCGACCUCCUUCUCCAAUCUUGAUGCCAAUCUUCUAGAGUCGAUAUCUCUUCUUUGCACCAUUCGACUGAUUUCAAAAUUCUCAUGCACAUAGGAAAAUAAUUCUAAUAUCCUCUCACAUAAGUUUUACUCCAAUCCAACUAGUAGAUUAUAAGAAAACUUAAAAAUCCUCACUAGACCUAAAAUUCUACUUUUUGAGACCUUGACCCACUUAAACCUCAAUAUCCUUCAAUUCAAUUGUUAGAUCGAGCUCAAAUUUACAUCACAUAUUGAAUACAACUAUAACCAUAAACUGACAAAAUUUCACUUAUAGAUCUACUACAAAACUCUCAAAAUCACCCAAAACGUAAAUCCUAUUUUAUUUCAUAAAAUCCAAGUCAUCCGAAAUAAACCUUGACUUUGCAAAGCUCUUAAAAAGUCAUAACAACUCCAAAUCAUCCAAAAUUAUUGUUUAUAGAAACCCUAUCAAAUCUGCUAUCAAAUCCCACUCUUCGAUCUGCCAAAGAAUUCCCGAGUCAUUGUCGAGACUCGGUUUUGUGCCUCACGGUUUGAUUUCGACAUUGGUUCAUAACCGGCCUUCUCCGGGUAUCAACAUCUAGUUUUUUUUUUAGUAAUUUUUAUUGGAAUUUACUCUAAAAUUCUUCUUAAAGAUGUCUAUAUUAUUUAUUUUUCUAAUCUACCUUGUUUUGCCUUAUUUAUGGCCCUACAAAGUAAGUAAAAGUCACCUUUCUAAAAAGGCACCAUUUCUAUUAAAAGUUUUAUUACUUUCCUAUCUUUUAUCCAUAUUUUUCUACUUUUUCUUUUAACUUGGCUCUUCUAUAAUAAGAUCCAUGUUAUCAUCUUUCAAUAUUUAGUCAUGUUACAAUACGACAACGCAAUCACAAAAUAAGAAGUAUGGUUGCAAAAAAAGACAAUUUACUGGAAAAUGAGUUUUUUCAACUACAAUAAAGACCGUGUAGCUAAAAUCUCAUGUAAUUCCUAGUAAAGAUUUUAUUCUCUCUUCAAAUCCCUCAUUUUUAUUUACAAUAGAAAUUUAUUUAGCACUAAAAAAUCACAAAGUCUUAACUUUAUUAGAUUCGAGUGCCUCAAUCUUUUUUAUAGAUGAAUAUUUUAUCAAAAAAUAAGAAAUAUUAUUAGUCAAGAAAAAUAAAUCUAUAUAUAUAUAUAGAAGUCAUAGAUGAAUUUUUGCUAUCUUUUAAAGAUUAUACAUAUGAGAUUAUUUUUUUAGAUGUAAUAAUUAAAGAUCAUAAUAGCAUAGUAAUAUUUAACAUAAUAAGAUCUCCAACUAAUUUGAUUAUUUUAGAAUUAUCUUGGUUAGAAAAGUAUUAGUGUUAGAUAAAUUGGAUUUCUUAUAACCUUAAUUUUUUUGAUAGUUUAAUCCAAAAUUCCGUUAGACAAGUAGAAAUAUAUAAUUCUAAUACAUCCAAAUCCUUAUUUGUAGGUACGAGAGCUUUUAUGCAUGCCAUAAAAAAAGGAUUAUCAUUUGCUUUAUAUGCCAUGCCUAUUUUUGAUGGCAAGAAGACAUCAAGUGAUAUUCCUAGUCAAUAUCAAGAUUUCCAAGAUGUUUUUGAAAAGAAAAAUACAAAUAUUCUUUAAGAACAUUGAUCUUGUGAUUAUUCCAUCAAUCUUCAUGAAGGAGAUCAAUCACUAUUUGGACCAAUCUAUAGCCUAAUACAAAAUAUGUUGGUUACACUCAAUGAGGGUAUUGAUGAGAAUUUGGCUAAGAAUUUCAUACGUUAUUCUAAAUCUCCAAUUGAAGCUCUUAUCUUUUUUGUAAAGAAAAAAGAAGAAUCUUUGUGGACGUAUUUGAACUAUGAAGGAUUCAACAAGGUCACCAUGAAGAAUAGGUAUUGUGUAUCUUUGAUUUCAAGACUCUUUUAUCAACUCAAUCAAGCAAAGAUCUAUACAAAAAUAGAUCUUUGACGAGCAUAUAAUUUGGUACACAUUAAAUUAAGAGAUGAAUGAAAAAUUGUGUUUUGAACUAAGUAUGGAUAUUUUGAAUUUAAUAUCAGGCCUUUUAGGCUCACAAAUGCACCAAUUUCUUUUCAAUAUCUAAUAAAUGAUGUCUUUUAAGAUUUUCUCGAUGGUUUUAUUAUUUGUUACUUGGACGAUAUUUUAAUAUAAUAUAAGAACAUAAAAGGGUAUGAAGUUUAUGUUUGUUGUUGUCAUAUUAUGUAAAGUUUUGUUUGAGAAUGAAUUGAGCAUCUAGCUCUAGAAGGUAGAAUGGAAAUUAUAACAACAAAAUCUUAAUUCUAAUAGAAUACUAAAUAAAAUCUAAUUAAAACUUAAAAAUACUAAAUAAGAUUUAAUCGAAUUAAAAAAAAACCUUAAAGAAAUUAUAAAAGAAACAAUAAGAAAUUUCAAAGAAAUUGAAAGAAAAUCCACAAUAAAUCUUAAAAGAAUGCUUAAGAAAUCCUAAAAAAUAUUAGAAUAAUGAUAAAUGUAUCUUCAAUAAAUCUUAAUUAAGUUCUAAUUUUAUCCUAAUUGUAAUCCUAAUGAACUUCAAUAAAAUCCUAGACAAACCUUUAAUUCUAAAUCAAAUUCUAUAUCAAAUCUUAGACAAAUUUUAAACCCUAAAUCAAAUUCUAAAUCAUAAACUAAACCCUAAAUCAAACUCUAGAUAAAUCUUAAAUCUUAAAUCAAACCCUAGAAAAUUCAUAAAUCCUAAACCAAAUCCUAAUCAAAAUCCUAAAUCAUAAACUCAAUCUAAUCCUAAUAUACUUUAGAAUCUUAAUAUCUAUCAACUAAACUAUUGAUUUUGCCUAAAAGAUUACAAACCUUUCAACAACUAAGUUGGCAAUAAGUAUACAAAAUUUGAAGAUAAUUGCACUUACCAAAUAGAAUAGAAAUCCUAAAAUCUGCUUGUGUAUUGGCUGGCCUUCUACUCCAAUCUGAAUGUUGAACUUUCAGUAUUAAUAUCUCUUUAUUGAACAAUUUAAUUUUUUUAAAAUUUCAUAUAUGUGUAGAAAAUCAAGUCUUUUAUCUUUAAAUAUAAUUUUUUUAUUCCAAUCCAACUAAUAGAUUGGUGAAGAUCUUAGAUAUCUUAAGUGCCACUUAAAGUCUAAUUACCAAAACCUCAACCUACUUGAAAUUCAAUAGCCUUCAAUUCAACCCUUCGAUCAAGCUCAAAUUUAUAACAUACUACAAAAUGGGUAGGAUUUUUUUGUUUUGCAAUACAUAGUAUGUAGGGUUAAGAGAAGCUUGUAAACUGAUGAAUGUAUAGUUUAGAAGACAAAUUAGAUGAAUUAGUCAGAAAAAGUAGUUAUCAUCAUAUUAUGUAGUGGUUGGAAUUUAGAGGUGAGCAUAAGUAGGUUGAGGAAGAAGUAGGAGGGGCCAGACUGUGAUAGUUAUGAGUCAGAGUAAGCUUAGUGCUACCUCUUUGUUUCUUUGUAGUUGAAGAGUAAUAGAUAGUUUUUGAAUAAUGUGAAGUAAAAUUUUGGAAUAAAAAAAAUAUUUAAUGUUGUAUAUGAAAUAUGAAUUUAUUCUAGAUAAAUACAAUAGAGAAUUAUAAGUAUACAAUUGAAAGUAUUAGUGAAGAAUGGAUAUGAAUGGGAGAAUUAUAAUACUGAGGUUUGAGAAGGAGUCUUUGGAGUGUAGAUUUGUGUAAAGAAGUAUAGAAAGAAUGACAAUUAAAUGCGAAGGAUUGCAAGAAUUGGAUUAUAGAGUGAUUUUAUGCUUUCUUUUAAGAUAGUAUAGUAUUACAUAUCAUUGCCAUAAAUUAAGAGAAGAAAAGAGAUAGUGAAUGUAAAGAUAGAAUUAUUAAUUUUAAUAAUUGAUAGAAUGCAGAGGACAAUGUAUCAUUCUUGGGUGUUUUUAGUUGAUCAAGAGAUAGUUAAUUGUGAGACCCUAAUGUAUAAACUCAUGCGGAUAGUCUUUCGUUGUGUUCGAAUUCUCCUAUAUAAGUUUAUUCCAAUUAAAUUAGUCUGAAGUAAGUAAAACAAAAAUUACAUUUUAAUACUACUGUUGGAGAUUGAUAAUAGUAUUAAGUAUUAGGAAUUAACUACUAAAUGUGUGGUUGCGGAUAUCAUACAAAGAUGUUACAAAAUUAGUGUUGGUUUGAAAGUGAAGCCAAAUGUGUAGUUAAAGUGGAGAUAGAAAGCAAUUUCAAUAGUAUAUGAUGAAAGAUUAUAAUUAAUAAGAAUGAGAAUAUUGCAUUGAAAAAAAUAUGCCAAUUGAAAAGAAGAUAAAGAAGAGUGUAAGCAAAAAAUUUAUUACAGGACAAGCAAGAAUGGAAUCUAAAAAAGAAGCAUCAAUAGAAUUGGAUUAAACCAUGGUUGCAUGCUUUUCGGCAUAUUCAAGCAUACCAAGAAUUUGAUAGACUGUUAAUAUUGCAGUCAUAUAUACUAUUAAGAAAACUGCCAAGAGCACUUGCAAAAAAUUUUGUCAACAGUCCAACAUAUCUUUUGAGCCUGUUAACUAAAAAUAAAGGAAGCAUAAAAGAAUUGGAUACUCCAUUGGGUUCUUUUUUAAUAGUAGAUACAACCAAUUCUAAUAAUAUUCAAAAUGGCACAAAUUGCUUGUCAAUAAGGGCCAAUUCAGAGUGUUUCAAAAUCCAUCCUUUUCACUUCCGAAUUCAACAAAUAAAAUUAUUUGUAGAUAAUAAUAAUAAAUUGAGGAGGUCUAAAAGUUCAAAAAAGACAAUUGAAAAAGGUAGUGAUUAUUUUAAAAGAUAAUUAAGUAGAACAUUGACAUCUUCAAUGGUGGCAAGAGGCCGAGCAAUUCCAAUUGUAGUUCAAAUGGAUGCAGUGGACAAUCACACAACUAGCAUAACUCUAUUAUCUACUUUUAGAGGUUUGUUAGGUACAGAUUUAGAUCAAUAUUUGUGUCAAUUCCUGUCUGUAUGUGAAGCCAAUAAUGGUAGAAUUGAAGAUAUUUGGUUGAGAUGGCUGCCAUCAACCUUAAAAGGUACAAUAUUUGAAUGGUAUAAUUACCAAUAUAUGGACCAAUUUCUUAAUUGGGAGGCAUUAAAAAAUAUAUUUUUAAUCCAUUUUUGACCAAUUGGAUUUGAAGAAUGUCUCAAGGAAAGAUUAAUGAAUAGUAGAAUAGUAUUAAGAAAAGCGGUGCAAUAAUAUUAUAGAUGAGUAGCAAAUUUUCUUUGAAAAUAGCCAAAUAAUCAAAUACCAAAAUUAUUUGUUUUAUCUACAUAAAUAUUAAUAGACUACACCUACCAAAAUUAAAGAUGUUUAUGAAGGAGGUUCAAUCAACCACUAUUGCUUCCUAAGUUAAUUGAGCAAAGGUAUGGAAAGAAUGUCAUUAUGAUCAGUUUCUAACUACAUGAGCCACAAUGAUUCUAUCUCAAAGAGGUUAUCAAAUGCCAGCUUGGAAUGAAGCAAAAAGCAAUUAUUCAAGAAUGAUUGAUUAUAAUAUGAAUAUUAGUACAAAUCCAUAGGAAAUAGUUAAUGUUGUCCCAUUGCAGGUUGUACCACCAACAACAGCAAUUUCAUAUUCCUUAUACUACCCAUAUCAAAAACCAGUAUCUACAAAAAAAUUAUCUAAUGAAAUAAUAUUGAAAGAUUAAAAUGAAGCUUUGUUGUUAACUUUGACAAAGAAGAUGGAUGAAGUGGCUGUUAAUAUGGUAAAGGAUAUGGUAAAGGAUAUGGAAAAGAAGCAUAAAUCAAUCAAUAUGCCUCCCAAUAUUUGGUGCAUUAAUUAUAAAGGACAAGGCUAUUUGAUAAUGGUGUUAUACUGUAAUUGCUUAUAGUAUGUAAAAAUUAGUUAGAAUAUAUAAUAUGUUCAUAAGUUUUGGUGUAUUUUAGAAUGGUUAAUAGAUUAAUUUAAAGAGAGUGGAUUUAAGAAAUUUUAUUUUGAUUUUUUUUUAAUUAUAGCAUUUCAAAAAAAUUAUAAGACCUAAAUAUUUAAUAUGAAGCCUUGAGAGGAGAUUAGAUCCUAAAGAAGAAAAUCUUAACUAAUAGAAGGCUUAUUGGAGAGAAUGAAAGUAAUGCACGAUUAGAUGAAGGCAAGGAAUGGGGAUCUUCAUUCCUAUUGGUCAAAGGCCAUGCUAAAUGGACUUCAAGGAGGCUACCCGAGGCCUUAUUAGGAAUUAGGAUUUUUUUUGAAGUCAUUUGAGAUUUGGAGACUAGGAUCAUCAAUUUUAGGUAGAAAUUGGAUGCAAAUUUUGUGUGAUUUGAAGUUUUUAUGAAGGAGUUAUUGACACUCAAAAUUAAGGUGUCAAUUUCGUACCUACUGUCAUUCUUUGGAACAUAACAAACGUUUACAGAAAGCCCAAAAAGAUUGGCAACUAAGGUUGGAGACAAGACUUUUUCAACCACAAUUUUCAUGUAUUUUUUAAUGAAUUUGAAAUUCAGAUGAAGAAUUUAUAGAGGGUUGAAGUCAGCACAUUCAAAUCAAAGGUAGUAAGUAAGUGAUUUUAUUCAUAGUAAUGGUUGGAGCCAUAUCUUGAGUAUUUGGAAGAAUUUUUGGCUCAAAUCUUUUAGAAAAAGUAAAUAAUUGUGUUAAAAAGUUAUACAUAUAAACUGUGUGGCAUUUAGGUAUUUAUUUUGUGAGAUAUGAAGAAAUUUGUACAUGCAUGUAUAAAAACUAGGGUUUGAAGCUACUGUUAGGAUUUUGGUGAUAUCUUAAGAUCUGCAAUGGAUUUGCAAUUAAAAGUUGUUGUGGAAGUUGAUAAGAAUACAUAAAUACUUUAUGUAAAAUUUUAGUAAGUUUGGAUAGUCAGAUUAGGAGAUAUGAGGUAUUGAAGUUUGGAUAAAAUUCCACAUAAGGAUAUACAAGGUUUUAGAGGAUUUUAUCAUGUUUUGGAUGUUGUUGGUUACUUGAGGCUUAUGUAUUUGGUAUAAUUUCUCCAAAAAGAAAAAUAUUAUAUAUAAACUUAGAACUUCUCUUAUUUUGAAGCUUGAUUGAAUAAUUAGUGAUAACUAAGAGUCCAACAUUUUUUUGAGGAAAAUUCUCUCUAUCUUGAUAACAAAAUAUUCUUCACUACCCCAUAUAAUUAUACAAUGUAUAUUUUGUGGGAGUAUGCAUGCCACCACCAAUUGUUGGAAUUUAUGAAAGCAACAACAGUUCAAUAAUUAGACCAUGAUUCAACUGACUUCGUGGAAUGUUAAUGAAGUCCAAAGAAGAAAUAGGUUUAGUUGGAGUAGGAAUUGUUUAAAUGAAUAAAAUAGGAAUUUUUUUAAUUUUUAAAAUUUUGAGUGUAACCAAAAAUUUGGAUCUAAUACUUAAGAUUUUGUACAAAGUCAGCAAAAAUAAUUUCAAUAUCCACCUAUUCAAAAACUAACUUUAGAUUCUAUAGUACUAAGUAGUCAACUAAGAUCAUUUAACCAUCCAAUCUAGAACAAGCCCAGUCGGUAUAAACCAGUAGAAACACCUAAUAUUCCUGAUAGAGUCGAAAGAAGACCACUUUGAUGUUAUUGUUGUAGGCAGAUAAGACAUUAUGCUAGUGAAUGUCCCAAUCAAAGAACCAGUCAUGAAUAUGCUCCAAUAUGUGGAAAUUGUAAGCAGACUUGAGAUACUUAUCAGCAAUGCAAUGUUCCAUUUAAUUUCAAUAAUCAAGAUCAACAGAUGCAGUCGAGCUAGUAGUCAAAUGAUAAAGGUCUUCUUCAACAAGAAUCUCGAGUACAUUGAGUUGAGGUGAUUAAUGCAAUACUUAUAUAGGGUCAACAAAAAGAACAAGAUCCAAUUCAAGAAUUGGGUGAAUCAGUUGUGGGAGAGCAAUUCCAUCUGCUAAUGGAUAAUUUAAAACCAAUAUUAGUAGCAAGAAAUAUUUCAAUAUUGAGACCUAGUUUGUCUUAGCAACUUAAUUUGAUUUUGAUUAUUAAUUUAUUAGUCCUACCAAACCUAAUUUCGAAUAAAAUAACUUAUCCAUUAAAAGAUUUUUUGAUGGAAGGAAACUCAAAGAAUGUACAAACAACAAUUUCAAUUGCAAGAAAGGAUUUAGUAUCUCAAGGAAUAAAAGUGAAACCAAUGAAACAAAAGAAGGCAUUAGAAAUUACUUUCAAUAUGGAACCAUAUGAUAUUUUGAAAGAUUUGGAUGUACUUCAGCCAUCUAUCACAAUGAAGCAACUAUUGGCGAUAGCACCAGAAUGUUGUUCUAAAUUGAAUGCCUCAUUAAUAAGACAUAGGUCUUAUAAUAGAAAAAUUCAUGAAAUUAAUUUGAAUCUCAAUCCAAGGGCAUCAACUAUCGAUGUAUCAAUUGAUGGUAUUUUAAUUUUUGGAGUUCAAGUAGAUGGUGACUCUAAUGUCAAUUUGAUGAAUGCCAAUAUAAUGGAGGAUUUGGAUUUAAAAUAUUUACUAUCCACAACAUCGGUAUUGAAAAUGGCAGAUCAUAGUAAAAUAAAACCAAUGGGUAUUAUUUACAAUAUUAACAUUGUAAUUGCCAAAAUUAUGUAUAAAAUUGAUUAUAUUAUUUUUCAUUUAUAAAAUUUUACAUUAUCAUAUCCAAUUUUAUUAGGUUGACUAUGAUUAUAUCAAGUCAAAGCUAAGAAUGAUUGGGAUUGUGGCACAUUGAUGAUUAGAAAAGAUAGUGACAAGAUUGUGUUACAAAUGUAUCCAGUAUAAUAUCAUGAAAAAUCUCAAUUCCUAGGAUUAGAGGUUAUAUCAGAAGUUGAGAGUCAAUCCAUUGAGGAGGACGACAAAGCUAUAGAGACAAUGCACUUUGAUAAAGUUCAAAAUACCUCAAAGCACAAUGGGAUAAUUUACCAAUGUGGAGGUUCAAGCAAAUAUUUAGUAUAUCAAGAGCAUACAAUAAACUCUAAUCAUGUUAUUUUUAAUUUUAAAGAAUAAUUUUGAUAUUAAUCAUGUGAGUACAAUAGGAAUGGAGUUGUAUAGUUUUCAAUUGUCAGAUCAUAUGAAAGAUUAUGAGCCAAGUAGAAAAAUCAAAUAUGAAGUUGAGGAACCUGCGUACCAAUCUAUUAACUUAGGCACUAUUGAAACAUCAUAGGUUAUUAAGGUAUAUACCAAUAUUAUGAGUAUCGAGCUGAAAAAUUAGAAAGAAUUCUUUCUUAGCCAUAAAUUUCUUUUUGCUUGGUCAUAUGCAGAUUUAAAAGGUAUUCCUGUCGAGAUUUGUGAGCAUCGAAUUACUUUGGAGGAAGAUACUACAAUGGUUCAUCAAAGAUAAUACCGUCUUAAUUCAAAAUAUUUCCUUAUGGUAAAAGAAGAAUUGGACAAACUUUUAAAUGUAGGUUUUAUUUAUUUAAUUGUGUAUAGUGAAUGGAUUUCACCAAUUGUGAUGGUGCCAAAGAAGAAUGAAAAAAAUCAAAAUUUGUCAAGAUUUUUGUAAAUUGAAUGCAGCUACCAAGAAGGAUUAUUUUUCUUUACCUUUUAUCGAUAGUAUCUUAGAUACAAAGAAAGAUAUGAAUGUUAUUCCUUUUUGGAUGGAUUUUUGGGUUACAAUGAAGUUAAAAUUACAGAAGAGGAGAAGUUAAAGACUACUUUUAUUAUGAAUUGGGGCACAUUUGCUUAUAAAGUGAUGCCAUUUGGGUUAUGUAAUGCCUCCACCACAUUUCAAAGAGUGAUGAUGUAAGCAUUUUAUGAUUAUUUAUAAUUAUUAAUAGAGAUAUUUUUAGAUAAUUUUUUUACAUUUAGUACGAAGACAAAAUAUUUGGAAUGUCUUCAUAAGUUUUUGGAUCACUGUGUCAUUAUAGGAUCUCUUUGAAAUCAAAGAAAUGCCAAUUUGGAGUACCGUCUAGUAAGUUAUUGAGAUACAUUGUCUUACUGACUUAUAUUGCUACUGACUUGGAUAAAGUUACUAGUAUAUUGGCUUUACCAAAGCUAGAGACAAUGUUGGGUGUUUAUAAUUUUAUCGACCAUGUUAAUUAUUAUUAACAAUUUAUUCAUUCAUUUGGGGGUAUAUGUCAACCUUUAACUAAUUUCUUAAAAAAACCACUCUUAGAUGGAUCUAGUCCAAUUUAGACUGAAGAUUGUAUAAUUACAUAUGAAGAAUUGAAACAAAAAUUGGUGUCUAUACUAGUAGUGGUUACACCUUGUUGGACGAAAUUAUUUCAUAUUUAUAUUGAUGUAUCCAAUGUUGCUAUUAGAUCAGUAUUGAAUCAAAAAGAUGAAAAUGAUUUUGAUCAUCUAAUAUAUUUUACUAGUCAUCAAUUGGUUGUAGCCAAAUAAAAUUACACUACUAUAGAACGAGAAGCCUUGGACAUGAUCUACUUUGUCCAAAAUUUUUGGCAUUAUUUGCUUGGUUAUCUAUUUGUGUUUUAUGUCAAUCAUAAUGCUCUAAAGUAUAUGGUUAAUAAAUCUUAAUUGAGUGGAUGCAUUGCUCAAUGAGUGUUAAUACUUUAAGAAUUUAAUUUUACUAUUAAUGUUCAACCAGACAAAAAACAUGCCAAUGCAGAUCACUUAUCUCGAUUGUCCAAUAUAUUAGAAAAUAAAUCUAUCCAUGAUAUAUUUUUUGAUGUAUAGUUACUAACCGUCAAUGUGAUUAUAUCCAAAUAUAGUAAAUAGAUUCAAUAUCUAAUAUUUUAGAUAUUUCCAACUCCAUAUAGUGAGAAAUUAAAGAAAUGGCUGAUUUUAAAAAGUACACCAUAUACAAUGAUUGGUGAUGCCUUGUAUAAGUAAGGACAAGAUGGAAUUUUAUACCGAUGUAUCUUUCAAAGUGAAGUGCAUACCAUAUUGGAAGGAUGCCAUUUGGAUAGUUGUGGAUGGUAUUUUGCCAGUGAUAGUACUACUCAUAAAGCUCUAAUGGCUGGAUAUUAGUGGCCAACCAUGUUUUCGGAUGCACACCAAUAUGUCCGAUGUUGUGAUCUUUGUCAACAAAUUGGUCGACCUAUAAAAACUUUUGUCAUGUUGUUGGUAUCGAUUUUGACACAAGAACCAUUUGAAAAAUGGAAGAUUGAUUUUGUAAGACCAAUCACACCAGCCUCUUGAAAUGGACAGAAAAGAUAUAUUUUGGUAGCGAUUGAUUAUGUCAUCAAAUGGACUGAGGUUGUAGUAACGAAAGCUAAUAAUGUCAAUAUAGUAGCUAUAUUUUUAUAUGAGAACAUUACCACCUGUUUUGGAUGUCCUAAAGAAUUGAUUAGCAAUCAAAAAAAUGAUUUUAUUAAUUCUACGAUUGUAGUUUUGACAAAUAAAUAUGAGAUCAAACAUCAAAAAAUAAUCCUAUAUCACCUUUGACCCAAUGAGCAAACUGAAAAGAUCAAUGGUAUUCUAUGUAAAAAUUUUAACUAAGAUAGUAUUUGAUACAAGAAUGGAUUGAGAUAGUAAAUUGUUUGUAGCAUUGUAGGUGUAUUGUAUUGCAUAUAAAGUAACUACCAAUUCCAUACCAUUUUAAUUAGUGUAAAGGCAAGAAGCAAUCUUACUAAUUGAAUUAGAGGAACAGAGUUUGAAAAUUGCAUUGGAUGAAUGUCUUGGCAACAAAGAGUCCCUCCAAUAUCGAUUAGCAAAACUAAAAUAAUUAGAUGAAGUUAGAACUAUGGUUCUACUAAGUAUGGAAAUUACACAACAUUGAUGUAAAAGUUAUUAUGAUAGUAAAUUAUGUCCCAAGUUGUUUCUGUCCAAUGAUCUAGUACUUCUUUAUGAUAGCAGAUUUAAUAAUUUUCUAAAAAAAUUUCAAGUUUGUUGGCAUGGACCAUAUCAUAUAGUAGAAGGUUUUUCUAAUGGAUUUGUUCAAUUGUAAGAUUUUAUAGAUACCCAAUUUACUACAUAUAUCAACAAAAACAGAUUACAACUUUUUUAUACGUAAACCCGGUGUCGAAGUAGAGAGAAUUUGCCUCAAGAGAGUACUGGCCUCUUGGCUGCCACUAAUUGCUUAAUGAAGUCUUGAGAUAAGACUAAGUUUUUUUAUAUAUAUAUAUAUAUAUAUAUAUAUAUAUAUAUAUAUAUAUAAAAUACUUUGAAGUGUUAUUACGUCAAAUAUAUAAAUCUUAAGUUUUUAAAAAUAUCCAAAAUAUGAUAAACCUCUAAAUCCUUUAAUAUCUUUAUGGGGUAUUAUUCCCAAACUUCAAAAAGUCAUAUCUUUCAAUUGGACCAUUCAAAAAUACUCAAAUUUUACUCAAAGUAUUCAUGUACUUCUAACAACUAUUGCAACAAAUUUCAACUACAAGUUUAUUGUGGAUUUUAAGUUUUCACCAAAACCCGAAUAGUAGCUUUAAACCCUAGUUUUUAUACACCUACAUGCAAUUCUCUUCAUAUCUCACAAAUUAAACAUCCAAAUCCCACAAAGUUUAUAUGUAUAGCUUUUCAAUACAAUUAUCUAUCUUCUUAAAAAGAUUUGAGCCAAAAAUUCUUCUACAAACUUAAGAUAUGGCUCUAAUCAUUACUAUGAAUAAAAUCACUUAUUUACUGCCUUUGAUUUGGAUGCACUUACUUUAAUUUUCUAUAACUUCUUUAUCCGAAUUCUAAAUUCACCAAAUAUUACAUAAAAAGUAUAGUUGAAAAAAUGUUCUCUCCAAUCUUAGGUUCUGAUCCUUCUUUGCUCUUUGCAAACGUAUGUUAUGCCCCAAAGAGUAACAGUAGGUACAAAAAUAACACCUCAACUUUGAGCGCUAAUAACUCCUUCAUAAAAACUCUAAAUUACACAAAAAUUUACAUCUAAUUUUUAUUAAAAAUCCUAAACUUGAUGAUCUAAGUCUUCAAAGCUCAAAUGACUUCAAAAGAGAAAUCCUAAUUCCUAAUAAGGCCUCGGAUAGCCUCCUUGAAGUCCAUUCAGUAUGGCCUUCGACCAAUAGGAAUGAAGAUCGCCAUUCCUUGCCUUCAUCCAACCAUGCCUUACUUUCAUCCUACCCAAUAAGCCUCCUAUUAGUUAAGAUUUUCUUCUUUAGGCUCUAAUCUCCUCUCAAGGCUUCAUACUAAAUAUUUAGGUCCUAUAAUAUUUUUGAAAUGCUAUAAUUAAAAAAAUAAAAUUUAAAAUAAAAUUUCUUAAAUUUACUCUCUUUAAAUUAAUCUAUUAACCAUUCUAACAUACACUAAGACUUAUGAACAUAUUAUAUGUCCUAACUAAUUUUUACAUACUAUAAGCAAUUAUAGUAUGAUAUUGGGAUGGGUUUUAAAAAUUGGAAGGAGGAAGGCUUAUUUAUUAAUGAUAGAUUGUCUAUAAUGAUAGGUGUAUGUUGAAGUAAAGAUGGCUGAUGGUUAAUUUUGGAUACUAAUAUUGACUAGUAAGGGAAUCAGAAGUGAGAUUAUGAUCAACAAAAUUAGGGAUUCUUAAUCCAUACUUGAGUUAAGGUUAGGAACGGGGCACUUAGUGGCAAUUAUUUUCCGUAUUUUUUAUAUUAUUAUUUAGAACGUACCAGUUUGGAGAGUAGGAUUUAUUCCAAUAAGCAAGAAUGUAGUAUUAGUACGAGCAAGGAGUAAAAAAUGAGUAUUAUACAAUAUCGAUGGAAAGAAUGAAGCGAGCUAUAGAAAGAAAAAAAAGAAGGUGAAAUGUGAGAGGUAAGAGUAAUUUGGAAUUGCCAUCCUUUGUGGUUUUGAUUAAUAUGGAACCAAUGAAGUUGGAAUUCUGUAAGAGCACAAAAAGGCAGAGAAAUUUUAAAAAUAUGUAGUUAUAUGUGUUUUUGUGAAAGUUUGAUAAUUUGCCACCAAUUGAUGUACAAUUAUUGAAAGAGUAUAUUUUCAAUUAUGACUUAGAGGAUGGUUUGAGUGUAGAAAAGGGGAGAAUUAUUGGGAUUAAUGAGACUACCUUGCAAAAGAUAUUGCAUCUCCUAAUUUGUGAGCUUGUAGUGAGUGCUAAAAAGUUCAGCAAUUUUAGACUGGUGUUGUAUUACGUAAUUUUUUAUUUGAAAAUAUACUAGGUACUUAACUGUAGAGAAUUUAGUUUUAAUUUUUUGACCAAGCUCCAAUAAGUUAUUUAACCAUAAAAGUAGAAGACAAAUAAAUACCACAAUAUCAAAAAGAUAUUAUAUAAAUAAAUAUUUUUAUAUUUAAGAAGGUUUAUACAUAAGGCUUUCGAAAAUAUCUAGAAAUUUUCUAAUAUUCUUGGCUAUACCAAAUCAUAGCUAACCAUUUACUCAUAGAUUAGGUUUUCAAUAACUUCAAGGAAAAUCUACAAUCUAUUUUAAAAAAUUAUCUUUAUAUAAGAAUUUAAUCAUAGCUCUAUAUAUCCAUCUUCAACAUAUCUUUAAAGUCUUGGCUUCCAAAAUACUCCUUUAUUUUGUAUAAAAUGCUCAAGUUAUAAUAAAAUCCUUUCAAAAUAUAAUAUUUCUUCUUGAACUUCCACAAAGGAUAUUUUCUUCUUGAACUUUAGAAAUUCAUAUCUCAUGAUUCAACAAUUCAUAUUUUUUCAAAUUUAAAAAUAUUAUAGAAUUUAUCCUUAAGCUUUAUUUUAUAAAAAUUCAACUAUAAAUUCACUAUUGAUCGUUUGGCAUCUUAAAAAUCCUAGCAGGUACUCUAAAAUCCUAAUUCACAAGUAAUUAAGUACUAUUUUUAUAAUAUCUCACAAAUUCAAAAUCCAAAUGUCACAAAACUUAUGUACAAAGUUUGAUUACAUGACAAUACAUAUUCUUGGAAAUGUUUAUCUAAAAUCUUAUCAAAUUGCACAAGAUAUAACUCAAAAUACAACCACUAGCAAUUCAGGUCACUUACUACAUUAAGAUUUGUAAGUGUUGACUUCAACCUCCAAUAUCUCUUUUAUCCAAACUUGAAAUCUAUCAAAUAGUAUACCAAAAGUGUAGUUAAAAGAGUGUUUUUUUUAAAUUCCAAUUGCCGAUCCUCUAUUACUUUCUUUACACAUGUGUUAUAUUCAAAAGAGUGAUAGUAGGUACAAAAUCAACACCUUUACUUUGAGCUCUCAUAUCUCUUUUAUAUAAACUCCAAAUGAAACAAAAUUUGUACCAAAAUCAUAGCCAAAAACCUUAACUUCUUGAUUUUAGCCUCGAAAGUUCAAAAACCUCUAAAAAACUAAUCCUAAUCUCUAAUAUGGCCUCAGGCAGCCUCCUUGAAGCCCAUUGGUCAUGAUUUUUGACCAAUAGGAAUAGAAAUUUUUAUCAUCCAUCUUCAUUCAUCUAUAUGGAUGCCUUAAACUCUCUUUUUGCUAACAAAAUUUCUCUUCAACUAUUUUCUUUACAAGAUUUAUUCAAUAUAUGUCCUAAACACUAUAUUAAAGAAAUAGAAUAAGACUUUAAAGAUCAUCAAUAUCUAACAAACGUGACUCUAAAUGUUUAAAACUUACUAUUAAUAAGAUCAACUUCAAAGUCACUAUCAAAAGGAAAUAAAGUUAUAUAAAUUUUAAUAGAAAUUCUUUUAAACUAUAUCUUUUUGAAGUUGUAAUCUAUUCACAUCCGACAACCAACAAAAAUCUACUAACAUGGCUUUUACCAUGUUAUCUAGUAUAUUGUGUAUUAAAUGUAUAAACACAUUAUUUUCACAUAAUAGCCAAACCACAAUACGACACUGAGAAGUUAUUUCAAAGGUAAAUUGUCAUCAUUUGAGAGAAAUUAAGCUUAGCAAAUAGCAUAGGUACUUACACUAGAGCUUAUGGAGUAGAUUUGUUUUAUUUAGAAGCGUUUAGGCUUGAAUUGAUACACCACGUACAUGUCCAAAUGAUUACUGUUUGUUAUAGUAGGAAUGCUUGAAAGAAUGGUGUUUAAUUGAGGAGCCUUUGUAGCAACUAGCGGAAGACGGAAAAAUUUGUAUCAUUGCUCUGCUUCAAUUAUGUGCAUUCUAUGAUUGUGUAUAUGUUAAGUCAAACAUUGCCAGCAAAGGAGAAAAAUAUAUCCUCCUCAGUGUCUGAAUGAGGUAUUUGGAGUUUAAUGGUAUUAACAAUUGGUCCAAGGGUCGUAGUGCAUGAAAUUGGAAAGAAGUAAUUUAAUGGCAUAGGGGGCUAUACAAGUAUUUACAUGAGGGUAGUGUCAUAAUACAUGAAGUCUUGCUUGAGAAUACUCCAAGUACUUGGUUGUGGAAGGUAGAAUAGAAAUUACAACAACAAAAUCCUAAAUCUAAUAGAAUACUAACUAAACUCUAAUUAGACCAUAACAACACUAAACAAGCUUUAAUCAAAUUCAAAGAAACUUCAAAAGAAUUACAAAGCAAUAAUAAGAAAUCUUAAAGAAAUAUUAAAAUGAUCACAAAUAUAUCUCAAAUACAUGUCAAUUCAAUCUCAAUUUAAUCCUAGUUAAAAUCCUAUUGAACUUCAUUCAAACUUUAGGCCAAAAACUAACUAAAUCUUAAAUCCUAAAUAAAUCCUAAUUCUAAAUCAAAUCAUAACCAAAUCCUAAACCCUAAACCAAAUUGAAAUCCUAAAUUAAAUCCUAAAACAAAUCGUAAUUCUAAAACAAAUCCUAAUCAAAUCCUAAACCUAAAGUAAAUCCUAAUCAAAUCCUAAAUCAAAUCCUAAAUCCUAAUAAUUCCUACAAUAGAUUUAAACGUCAAUUACUAAUGAAUGAAUUAUUGAUCUUAACUCAAAAUUUGCAUGUAUUUUAAAAAAUUUGAAAAGAAUUGAAAUUAUCAAAUAGACAAUAGUUUCAAAAACGUGCUUAGAUAUUGGCUAGCCUCCUCCAACCUUGAUGCUAAUCUCCCAGAGCCAAUAUCUCUCUUUUUUCCCAUUUAAUUGAUUUCAAAAUUCUUAUACACACAAGAAAAUAAAUUUAAUAUCCUCACAUAUAAAUUUCACUCCAAUCCAACCAAUAGAUUGCAAGAAAUCUUAAAAACUUUUAUUUGACCUAAAAUUCUACUUUCUGAGACCUUGAUCCACUUAAACCUCAAUAAUCCUCAAUUCAACUGUUAGAUCAAGCUAAAAUAUACAACACUUAUUAUGCACAACUAUAACCAUUAAUCUACAAAAUUUUACCUAUAGAUCUAUUAUAAAAAUCUUGAAAUCACUAGAAACGUCAACUCUAUUUUAUUUCACAAAACCUAAGUCAUCUAAAAAUAAUCUUAACUUUGUAAACCUUUUACAAAGUCAUAAUAAAUCCAAUUGCCCAAAACCAAUACUCAUAGAAAUCUUAUCUAGUUUUCUAUCAAAUUCCACUCUCUGAUCUGCAAAAAAAACCCUCGAGUUGUUUCUGAGACUCAGUUUUGUGUCUUAGGCUCUGAUUUCGACUGUGGUUCAUAACCGGCCCUCUUUAGGUAUCAAUAUGUAAUUUUUUGAAGUAAAUUUUGUUAGAAUUUGCUUUUAACUUCUUUAUAAAGAUGUUUAUAUUAUUUAUUUUUCCAAUCUACUUUAUUUUAUCUUAUUUAUGGUCCUACAAAGUAAAUAGAAGUGACUUUUAUAAAAAAGUAGUAGUACUACUAAAAGUUUUAUUACCUUCCUAUCUUUUAUUCAUAUUUUUUUACUUUAUCUUUUAACUUGGCUCUUCUAUAAUAAGAUCCAUAUUAUCAUCUUUCACCAUAUAGAUGUGUUAUAACAUGACAACAGAUUCCAAUUUUGUCAACGAUUGAGGUGACGGCUUAAGUUUUAGUUUCAAUGGAUAUAAAUCAGUUAGAAUUAAUGUAGAGUAGAACAUUAAAAGAAAUAAAUCUUAAGGAGGUUUUAUUGGCUCAAAUUUCUCAAUUGCAGCUCAUAGUGAAUAAAUUGGAUGGAGAAAGAAAUUUAAGGGAGCAAAAAAGAGUUAUUGGAGUAAAGCCAUAGAAUGAUAGAACAAGAUUGCAUGAUCAAGAAAAAUAUAAAAUUCAAGUUGUUAUUGGAGCAUAAAUUUAGAGAGAAACAUGAAGCUUGGAAAUAAGAAAAAGAACACAUUCAACGUAUUGUGGAAGGCCAAAGGUAAGAGAUAUUUUAGAUUUGCAGUACAUUAAUUUUGGAACAAGAAAAGGGAAAGUGUUAGUUGGAAAUAGAAUGAAAAAAGAUAGCAUUACUAGAACAAAAAAAAGCGGGAAUUGGUUGACCAAUAUAGAAUUGAAAUAGAAAAAUUAAAGAUAGAAAUUAGCACUCUGAAAGAUUUAGUAAAAAAAUUGGAGGAUGAUUUAGCCAAUAUCGAUUAGUCACAGAUAUCUACCUUUUUUAUUUCAAUAAUUGUUGAAUUAGAAGAGGAGGUGAGGCAACAACAACAUUAAUUGGAAGCAAAUAAUGUCAGGAUUCUGCAGUUGGAAGCUCAAAUUCAUGAAUUGGGAGCAUACAAUGAAGACUUAUUAGCCCAAUUGAGAAAAGAUUCAAUAGAAGUAUCGAAUAAGGACUAAAUUUUAUCAUUAGAAUUAAAAACUUUGGAACCAUCUAUAGACAAUAUUGGGAUUGAUCAAUCCAGUGAGCCCAGAUAGUAGUUUGCAAGGAUGUUGCAUAGUUAGAAGUGGGACUAUGUAGAAUGGGUAGGAUUUUUUUUUUUGCAAUAUAUAGUACGUAGAAUUAAGAGAAGCUUGUAAACUAAUGAAUGGAUAAUUUAGAAGGUAGGAUGGAUGAUUCAGUCAAAAAAGUAGCUAUCAUCAUAUUAUGUAGUGGUUGGCAUUUUGAAGUAAACAUAAGUAGGUUGAAGAAGAAGUAAGAGGGGCGAGACUGUGAUAGUUAUGAGCCAGAGUAAGCUUAGUGCUACCUCUUUGUUUCUUUGUAGUUGAAGAGUAAUAGAUAAUUUUUGAAUAAUGGGAAGUAAAAUUUUGGAAUGAAAAAGAUAUUUAAUAUUGUAUAUGAAAUAUAAAAUUUAUUGUGCAUGAAUACAGUGGAGAAUUGUAAGUGAACAAUUAGAAGUAUUAGUGAAGAAUAGAUAUGAAUGGAAGAAUUAUAAUACUGAGGUUUGAGAAGGAAUCUUUGGAGUCUGAAUUUGUGUGAAGAAGUGUAGAAAGAAUGACAGUUAAAUAUGGAGGAUUCCAAGGAUUAGAUUAUGGAGUGAUUGUAUGCUCUCUUUUAAGUUAGUAUAGUAUUACAUAUCAUUGGUAUAAAUUAGGAGAAGAGAAGAGACAAUGAAUAUGAAGAUAAAAUUAUCGAUUGUUAUAUUUGAUAGAAUGUGAAGGACAAUGUAGCAUUCUCGAAUAUUUUUAGUUGAUCAAGAGAUAGUUAAUUAUAUGACCUUAAUAUAUAAACUCAUGCAGAUAGUCUUUCUUUGUAUUUGAAUUCCUCUAUACAAGUUUAUUUCAAUUAAAUUAGUCUGGAAUAAGUAAAACAAAAAUUAUACAUAUACUCCAAAGAACUAUUCUUAUAAGUCUUCAAAAUAUGAAGUAUUGAUCUACUACCAAACUCAUAAAAUUCUUUAAAACGUAAUAUCUUUUUUAUUUCACAAAUCCUAGAGUCACUCAAAAUAACUGUGACUUAGCAAAGCUCUUGUAAAGUUAUUACAUACUUAAUUCUAUUCAAAUUAAUAUUAAAAAAAAAUCCUAUUUAGUUUUCUUUCAAAUUCCAUUCUUUGAUCUACCAAAGAAUCCUUGAAUUGCCAUUCAUAACUCGUUUUAUGCUUUGGAGUCCGAUUUCAAUCCAGGUUCAUAAUUAGUCCUUUUCAGGUAAUAAAUUUUACCCUCUUGAGUUAGUUUUUGUUUAAAUAAAUUUCUAAUUUUUUCUUAUAUAUGCUCAUAUUCUCUACUUUUUUAAUCUAUCUUCUUUUAUCUUUUUUAUGGCCUUAUAAAAUAAGUAGAAGCCUAAUUUAUUAAAAGAUAGCAUUUAAAGCUUUAAUUCUAUUUUCUUUAGUAUUAUUUUCUAUUUUCUAUGAUAAUUCGAUACAAUUUUUGAAGUAAGAUCUUCUAUAAUAUAAUAGAUUUUGUACCUCUUUCACUUAUUAGUUAUGUUACAUCAUGACAUCCAUCUCUUCUAAACUUGUGUAUCCUUAGGCAUGUACCAUUGAUUCUUCAAUAUGUUGAUAUAGAGUAUUCUUUAACUUGAUCACAUACUUGAUCUUCAAUUUGCUCUUCUUCUUCUAUCUUAUUAUCUUGUAAUGGAUUUUAUUUUUCAUCAAAACUAAUAUUUUCACCUCUUUGCUUAAAUAAUUUGAUUCUUGUCCCUGCUAUAAGCAUCUUUAAUUUUGUACCAUCAAGUUUUUAUAACAAGUAUGUUCCAUUAUUGUAUAUUUAUUUGAAAACAUAAGGCUUGAACCAUCUCCUUACAAAUUCUUUUACCAUGUUUUAUUGGUUGUUUACACUAAUAUCAUAAAUCAACACCCAAUCAUUAUUUAGAAUUAGUUUUGGACAUAAUCAGUAUUUUUUGUCUAAUCUUUCAUUAUUUUUUUUCCUUACCUCUUUUAAUUUCUUUAUAGCUACUUCAAUGUCGUUGGGUCUUCUUUCAAGUUUUCAAAUUAGUAAUGCUAAUAAUUCUUUCCUUCUUAAAUCAACUUCUUAAGGUAAUAUAUUCUAUGUUAAUACAACUUCUUCUAUUGGCAUCACUGAUUUUUAUCCAUACAUCAAUUUUGCUAGCAUAUGUACUGUAACAAUACUAUAGAUUGUACAAUCUGCUUAUAAUGCAAAUGGUAAUAAAUUAGGCCAAUGACUUAUCUUACCUUUGUAUACUUUAAUUAAUGCUUUAACAAUUAGAAAGUACCCACAUUCAUUCUUAUUAUUUUCUUUUGGAUUAUAUGUAGUUGUUAAUGUAAGUCUAAUGUCUAUCUUUCCAAAGAACCCUUGUGCUUCAUUUGCAUCUAAUUCUCCUCUAUCUAUAGUGAUUUUUUCAAUACAACCAUAUCGGCAAAUAAUUUCUUCUAAUAUAUAUUGAUAUACUCCUUCCAUAGUCUUUGUUCAAAGUACUCUUUUUUCAACUUGAUUUGUCAAAUCUUCUUAAGCAAAUAUCAAAUAUUUCUUUUGUUUAAAUCUUAUUAUUAUUGCAAGUAAAUCAACCACCUAUUUAUAGUAAAUUACUAAUGGAUUUGUUAGAUGUAAUCCAUCUUAAUGACAAAUUUUUGAAUAUAUUUUGACAAGUCUCAUAAGAUCUUAUAAAAUCUGCUAUAUCCUUAUGCAUGUUCUUUCACCAAUAUUUUUCUUUCUAUUUAAUAAAUAUUACCUAAAUACUUCAAUGCCUUGUUCAUAAACUUUCAUAAAAUUCUUUAAUAAUCUUUUGUUGAGCUUCCAAAUUAUAUAUUACUCAUUGAAUGUUUUUCCCUCUCUUGUUUAGAUGCUUCCACAAAAACCCAUUUCAAAGAAAAUAUCUGUAUACUUUCCUUCAAAUCCUCCUAAAUUCUUUGUCUAUCCAAACUUCUUACUACAAUAAUAAAAUUAAGUAUUUUCUUAUAUACAACCAUUCGCUAUCAUAUAACUCUUUUGAAAAUAAUUCAAGUAGUAUAGCCAAACAUAAUCCAUCCCUUCUUACAUACAAAGUCAAAUAAAAGUCAAUGCCAAUAUUUAGUUCAUCAUCAACCAUAUCAUCUUCAUUAUCAUAUUGUGCUUGUAACAACAUAUCCACAACCAUAUCAUCUUCAUUAUUAUAUCAUGCUUGUAAUAACAUAUCUACAACCAUAUUAUCUUUUUUUGAAAUAUAAUUGAAUUCUAGAUUCAUAGACUUUAUAUAUGCAAUCUAUCUUAACAUUGCUAUAUUUGAUGUAAAAAAACUAAUAAUCAUGACUAAUAAGGAUAAAUAAUUUAUUUUUAUAACUAUUGAUGUACCAAUCAAAUAUUCUUUUUAAUUUUUCAUGACUAUUACUAUAGCCCAUAAUUCUCUUUUAAGUUGUGUAUAUUUCCUUUGCCUAACAUUCAAAAUCCUUAUUCCAAAUCUUACUAUAUAUCUAUUUUCUCAUUCAUUAUCUUGUCCAACUGCCCAACCUAUUCAAAUUGGACUUGCAUCAUUUGUUAAUAAUACUAACCUUCCACAUUUAUAAUUUACUUUCUUCAAAGUUUGAAGUAAAGAGAGAAGUUCUUUUAAUUUUUCUAUAGUUUUUCUUUGUUUUCUUUUCCAAUAAUUUUUUUUAUUCUUUUGUAAUAACUCAUAUAAUAGAUUUGCUACAUGUGCAAAAUGAGAUAUCCAUAUAUGAUAGAAAAUACAUGCUUCUAAAAACCUCUAGACAUCUAUUGUGUUUGCACAUUCUUUUAUCUUUUUAAUAUUAUCAACAUUUUUCAUACUUGGUUUGCGUUCAUAUAAUCCAUAUAUGUGUUCCACCACCAAAACUUUCUUUAUUUCAAACAUUGAUUUUGUCUCCGAUAAGAUUAAAUGAACUUCUUCUAAUCUUGUCAAAAUCUUCUGACAAUCAUCAAUAUGAUCUGCCACAAAUUCCUACAUCCCUUUGAAUCCAAUGUCUCAACUUUUUUUUCUUCUUCACAUCCUUUAAUUGGUACAUCAUCUAAAAUAGGUAUUUUUAUAUUUAGAAUAAAUUUUCUUAAUACCUUAUACAUUCAAUUUAUCAUGUGUGCCAUAGAAUUUGUAGGCCCUUAUGGUAAUGUACACAUUUUGACCAAUCUUAAUGGUAUCUUCAUAGUUGUCAAAUCUCUACUUUGUAUUACCAAUUAAAGUUGAUCAUAACUUGAAUAAAGAUCAUCCAUUGAAUAGAUAGCUCUUCCAGCAAAUGCUUUUGAAAAUUCAUCCACAAUUGAACUUGAAUCCAUAUUUCUAAUAGUCACUUUAUUCAUAGAUUACAUGUCUUGUAUAAAUCUCAUUUAUCUAUUUUUUUUGGCAUUAUAAACCAUUGAUUAAAAUAUGGUGCCAUAAAUGGUUUCAAAAUUUCUAUUUUAUUUUUUUCAUUGAAUAAAUCUAUUAACUUAGAUAAAUAUGCUCUUGAUACUAGAAUUAGUUACAAAUUCCAUGGUUCAUAAGGAAUAGUAAAAAGAACCAUAGAUGCUACUAUACUUAGAUUAAUACAUCUAAUUUCAUGUACCUUAAAUGGAAAAGUCUUUCUAUGUUAUUCAAGCAUAUCUUUAAAAUAUUUUUCUUCACUUUUUGUCAAAAAUCCAUCACAUCCAACAUUUAAUCCAUCUAAUAUAGUAUCCACAAAUUCAUGCCCUAUCUUCCUAGGAUACCUUAAAUUUCAUUGUAUAGAUGCUCCACUCACCUUUUCUUCACAAUUUGAUGGUAGUGGCAAAGCCACUCAUUUGACCUUUUUUGCCAUUGAUUUAUACUUAGUUUCAAUAUGUACCUCUUGGCGAUUUAAAUUUUCUAUAAAUCCAUAAAUUUCAUCAUAAAAUUCUUUAAAAAAUACAUCAAUAACUCUAUUCUCUCCUUGUAAUCUAUCUUGCAACAAAUAAUUUAAUUCCUCCAUAGUAUCUGCAAAUUCCACUUCUUUAAAUGCUUUUGAAAUAAAUUUAUUUUUAAUAAAUCCUCUAUUUUUCUUUAUUUUUUUCAAUAUUUUUAAUAUAAUAUUUAUCCAUCUUUUUCAUCUUAUCAAUAGUCUUAAAAGAUAACACACAAUUUUAUGACAAUCUAAUAAGCUGAAUAGAUAAUAUCUUCUCUACUAUAUUUAAUGGGAGCAUCUAUUUUUCUAAUCUAUUAUAAUCUUGCCUUUUAAUGGUAUAUGGUGAAAAUCCCUUAUAUACUCAUCUCUAAAUUCUUUAGUAACCUUAGAAAAAAGUUGCUCUUUCAAACUUUCGUGAUUUCUGUCAUGAUUAGCACAUACCGUCAAAAAUUGUACCAUUCUUAUUCUAUCUUGACUCCUAAUUAAAAUAUAUGCCGAUCCAUUGUUCAUAACCUUUAUUUCCAUGCAUGUAGCCAUAAUAUGAGGUUGUCCUAGAAUGAUAGGAUAAGUAGACAUAUCUUGCACAAAGAAGUUUUUUUCAUCACUAACAUCUCCUAUUGUAAUCUUUACAUUUGAACAUGCCCCAUAUAAUUCUCCUCGUGAAUUGUUUGCCGCUUGAAUCAUCCAUCCAUGCUUGGUGUCAAUAGGCUAUUUUCUCCUUUCAUACAAUUCUUUUGACACUAAAUUGAUCUCCAAACCAUGAUCAAUUAAUGCCACAAUAGGUUCAUCUAAAUUCUCCAACUUCACCAAUGUCUUUAUUGUUGCUCUUAUCCAAUGAUUACAAGAAUAAUGAUUCAAAGUUUGGAUUUCUUCUUCUUCUGUAAUCCUUGUACGUGAAACAUUUCCAUAUACAUAAUCAUUAUCUUCUUCAUCUAUUGUCACCCUUGUCCUAUGUACAUUUAAAGCCAUAUUUUCAUCCAAAAUUUGUCAUUUUUUCUUAAUAAUAUCCAUAGUGACCUCAUAGAAUUUUUUCUUUAAUAUCUCAAGAAUUUAUUCCAAUGUAAAUUCUAUCUUGUCAUUUAAAAUGCGUUGUCAUAAUACGUAAAGUCUUGCUUGAGAAUGCUCCAAGCACUUGGCUGUGGAAGGUAGAAUGGAAAUUGCAACAACAAAAUCCUAAUUCUAAUAGAACAUCAACAAUGCUAAACAAGCUUUAAUAAAAUUCAGAGAAACCUCAAAGGAAUUCCAAAAAAACAAUAAGAAAUCUUAAAGAAAUAUUAGAAUUAUUACAAAUAUAUUUCAAAUACAUCUCAAUUCAAUCUUAAUUUAAUUCUAAUUAAAAUCUUACUUCAUUCAAACUUUAAGUCAAAAACUAACUAAAUCUUAAAUCCUAAACAAAUUCAAAUAAAACCCUAAAUUCUAAAUCAAAUCCUGAUUAAAUCCUAACUAAAUCCUAAAUCCUAAUCCUAAAUCAAAUUCUAACCAAAUCCUAAUCCUUAUCCUAAAUCCUAAACCAAAUCUAAACCAAAUUCUAAUCCUAAAUCAAAUCCUAACCAAACCUUAAUUCUAAAUCAAAUCCUAACCAAAUUCUAAAUCCUAAUCCUAAAUAAAAUCUUAACCAAAUCCUAACCCUAAUCCUAAACCCUAAACCCUAAACCAAAUUCUAACCAAAUCCUAACCCUAAUCCUAAAUCCUAAACCAAACUCUAACCAAACUCUAAUCUUACAUCAAACCCUAAUCAAACCUUGAUCCUAAAUCAAAUCCUAACCAAAUCUUAAAUCCUAAACCAAAUCUUAAAUCCUAAAUCAAAUCCUAAUUCUAAUUCUAAAUCCUAAAUCAAAUCCUAAUUAAAUCUUAAUCCUAAUCUUACACCCUAAACCAAAUCCUAACCAAAUCCUAAUCCUAAAACAAAUCCUAACCAAAUCCUAACCCUAAAUCAAAUCCUAACCAAAUUCUUAUCCUAAUCCUAAAUCCUAAACCAAACCAUAACCAAACCCUAAUCUUAAAUCAAACCCUAACCAAAUCCUAACCCUAAAUCAAAUCCUAACCAAAUCCUAUUAAUUUCUACAUCAAAAUUAAACCUCAAUAACUAAUGAAUGAACCGUUGAUCUUAACUCAAAUUUUGCACACUUUUUAAAAAUUAAAUUAUAAAUAUAUAUAUAUUUUUUUGAAAAUGAUCGGAAUUUCCAAAUAGACGAUAGCCCCAAAAAUGUGCUUGGGUAUUAGCCGAUCUCCUUCUCCAACCUUAAUGCCAAUCUCCCAGAGCCAAUAUCUCUCUUUUUCACCAUUCGAUUGAUCUCAAAAUUCUCAUAUACAUAGAAAAACAAGUCUAAUAUCCUUUCACAUAAAUUUCACUCCAAUCCAAAUAGUAGAUUACAAGAAAUCUUAAAAACCCUCACUAGACCUAAAAUUCUACUUUUUGAGACCUUAACUCUUUUAAUCCUCAAUUCAACCGUUAGAUCGAGCUAAGAUUUAUAAUACAUAUUAAGCUCAUCUAUGACCAUUAACCCAAAAAAUUUCACCCCUAGAUCUAUUACAAAACUCUUGAAAUUACUAGAAACAUCAACCCUAUUUUAUUUCACAAAUUCCUAAGUCAUCCAAAAACAAUCUUGAUUUUGUAAUGCUCUUACAAAGUUAUAAAAACUCCAAAUCACCCAAAAUCAACACUCAUACAAAUCUUAUCCAUUUGCUAUUAAAUUCCAUUCUUUGAUUUAGAAAAGAACCCUAGAGCCAUCAUUGAGACUCGGUUUUGUGCCUCACAAUCUGAUUUCGAUCCUAGUUUAUAACCAGCCCUCUCCGAGUAUUAAUAUCUAGUUUUUCUAAGUAAAUUUUUUUAAAAUUUACUCUCAAUUUCCUUUUAAAGAUGCCUAUAUCAUUUAUUUUUUCAAUCUACUUUGUUUUGCCUUAUUUAUGGUCCUACAAAUUAAAUAGAAGUCACCUUUCUAAAAGGCAGCAUUGGUACCUUUUAGUUUUACUUCCCUUUUUACUAUUAACUAUAUUUCUAAGAUAAUUUGCUCUAAUAUUUUGAACUAAGAUCUCCUACAUUAUAAUAAUUUCUACACUCUUUCACCUAUUAGUCAUGUUAUAUCAUGACAACGUUCUUCUAAAAUCUUCUUCAAAUUGGUUGUUGCCUCAAUAUCCAAUUGUAAUUUAUAAGUAGGAGGCUUUGUUUGUUUGUUUGUUUGUUUGUUUUUUUUUUUUUUUACAAUUUACUUUUCUUUUAGAAAAAUAUUUUUUGUUGUCUCUUUAUGCAUAGGAUUCUUUUGUUGUUGUGCUUUUUCUCCCUUGGUUAUUUUUUUUGAUGGUCCUUUAUUAUUUUCAUCUUUCUUUUAUUUUUCUUCUAUUAAUGCUUCAUAUUGAUUCCUUGCAAUAUAUACAUGUACAGAUAGACUAUCAAUUAGAUCAUUCUAAUUAAUAGUUUUUUAAAUAGACUUAUCUAUAUUAAUUAAUACAUUUUUAGCAACCUUUCUAUUUGCUGCACACUUUAUUACAUUUGGCUACAAUGAACUUAUAUGAUCCAAUACUUUAAUGCUUAUGCUUCUACAAUCUUAAGUAAGUCCAAUCUUAUAUGUCUUUUCUUUCUUUUUAUGAAUCAUUAAUACAUUCAUAUUCCAUUGCCAAAAUUUAUCUCUAAUUUUUCUCUACAUUCUUUUAAGUAUAUCAUACCAUGUUUUAAAAAAAUAAUCUUUUUAUGUAGCGCCUCUAUAAAAUCCUCACAUUCUCUUUUUGAAUGAUCUAUACUAUCACACCAUAUACACCUAUGUAUUAUACCUUCUAUUGAUCCUAAUCUUUAUUUUGUUAAUACUCUUGAAUAUUGAUCCUUUUCUUCAAGUUUUCUAAAUUUUAUUUAUAAAUCUUUCAUCUCUCAUAUAAUUACAUUAAUGCCUAUUUAUUCUUUCUUUGUUAUAGCCAUUGAAGGUUGAAUCAUAGAUGUAGGAUUAAUAGUAGGUAUUUUUACUUGAGAUACUUGUAAUAGUCUUUGAAUAUCCAUCCUAUCAUUUUUUUUCUCUAUUUACAAGCAAUCCUACUUCAUCUUCUAUUCUCUCUAAUUUUUUUUCAAUCCUUCAUCUUCUUCUUUAUCUUCAAGUAAGAUUUCCAAUUUUUCUUAUAACUCUCUAUUGAUUGCUUGAAGAAAAAGCUACACUUUACUUGGAUCCAAUAAUUGUCUUUCUUUCAUUGAUAAAUAAGAAUAUUUCUUUUCAAACUAUGUUAACAAUUUGGUUAUUAAAAGAUAUUUUUUUGGCCUUUCAAUCUAUUCAAAUAAUUUCUUUAUAACCUUAUCACUAUCAUUUAAGAAAAACUUAUCCUUUAAUGCUUGAAAAUAUUUCUCCCAUGAACCUCCAAAAUAUCCCAUAAGAAACUUGUGUCAAGGACAAGAACUCGAUGAAAAAACAAUUCAAACAAGUGAGCAUUCACUCAAAGAGAGGUAACAAAAUAUAUAUAAACAAAUAUAUAUAUUGAAAGAGAAACUGGAAUGGCUAUUGCCAAAAGACAAGAAAACUAGAGACUCUUGAAACAGACUAGAAGCAAGAAAGGAGUUGACAAGAGUGAAGAAGCCUUCACUCUUGUCUCUAUAUAUACUAUCUAACUAAGAGCUAUGUGGCGACAUUCUAUAGGACCUCCAAUAUGUGUUGACUUUGUAGGGCACAUGCCUUGACUUACAAGGCAAGUUUUUCUACAUGUGGGCCACAUAGUUAGCUUGAUCUUUAAGCUAACAACAUGUGUGGCACAUGGCCAACUUGUUGACCACGUUUCUAAUUCAAAAAAUCAAUUAAAGACACCUAUGAAGUCAAAGCAGCGUCUAGGAAGUUUUUAGGAAGCUUUCAUAUUAAAUAUUAUAGAAUUAACUUACUUUUACCUAUUUUUAUUUACUUCUACCUAUUUCUAUAUGUAAUUAUUAGCUUACAUGAUUAUGGCCGUGACAACUUGAUUACUUAUCUAUAAUGCAAAGACUAAUUCAAAUAUAUGAACCAUCUCUGUGACUCAUCAAAUUAAUUCACUAGUUGUUUUAAGACAAAAGAAUGCAUGUAGAAUGCCAAAAUUACAAUUUUUAAGUGAAGAUGUGCUUAGAGGAUGUUAAAUGAAGGAAAAUAGUAUUAGUAGAGAAGAAAUAGAGUCUUAGUAAGUCUUGGAGGUAAUUAUCUUAGUUAGUUUAAUAUUUUUAAUUUAUUAUUGAAUAUUGAAGAAUAUUUAUUAAGGUCAUUAUUUAUAUUGGCCUUCAAUCUAUACAUAUUAUUUAUAAGAAAAAACUAUAAAUUUUAGUUAGUAAUUAAAAGAAGCAUGAAAAAGAACCUCAUAUCUUUUUAAUUAAUUAUAUAGAAAGUAGGAUUUAUUGUAGAUUUAAAUUGAUUUUAUUACUAUAAAAAUAAUCAAGAUAGGAAAUUAUAUUCUUAAAUUUAUAUUAAUAUUAUAGGAAUUAUAGAAUUUAUUUAGAAUUUAUUUAGAUUUUUUAAGGAAUUUUUAGAGUAAUUUCUAAGACUUUGGUAAAAAUGAGUUUUAUCACCUUGGGAGCCAUUAUGAAGAAAUGAAGCAAGAUUUGAAGGCCAUACUAGGUUUUUAGGCUAAAAAGAUAUUUUUAAAUACCAUUUUGAAGUCAAAAAUAUAAAAAAAUAAAUUUUAUUAGUAAAAAAUAGGAAGACCAAUAGCUAGUCUAGUCCUUACAUGAAGAAAAGUGUACAAAUUCCAUAUGGAUUGUAACACCUUGGGUAUAGGUACGAAGAUAAGUCUAAGGCCUCAAGGCCUCUUUAGACAACCAAUAUAUACUACUUGUGAGCCUUGGUGAGGCUCGAACUCUUGAUCUUUGAAAGCAAGUUAUCCUUGAGGUAAAAUUAUUUACUUAUUUUUUUUAUUUUUUUACUUGUUAUUUUUCAAACUUUCAUAACUUACUCAUAGUAAUUCGGAUUUACAUUUUUCUUAUAUCAUUGAAAAGACAAAAAAUUUAAAUUUCUAAAAAUAUAUUAUUUAUUUUUACUUUUUACUUUUUACUUUUUAUUGAAUGAAAACUCAAUGAACAGAUUAUGACUAGUUUUGUCGUGUAUAAUUGCUUGUUUGCACUUGUUCUACUUACUUUGUAUUUUACUUUUUUUUUUUUGUUCUUGCUACUCUCACUUCAUACCACCCAUUACAAGAAACUUUUUAUUGAGGCCAUCUUGUAAUUGGAUUAAAGAGUGAAUUUUACACUCACAAUCUUUUUUUUUGAAAUACUUUUCAAUUCCAUUUUUUUUAUAUAACAUCUUAAAUAUUUUGUUAUAUCCUUUCCUUCAAAUUGAUUGAUUAUGUCCACAAUCUCUUGUAAUACUUUGUUUGCCAUACCUUCUUUAUGAUCUUUAAUCUGUUGCUGUUGCAUAAAUAAGGCAAAAGCUUCAAAUAUGCUUGCGAAAUUGGAAUUGAAAUACAUACCUUGUCCUCUACUAGUUUUGCUACUUAUAGCUCUAAUUGAAGCACCAUCCAUAGCUCCUCUUUUAACUCUCUCAAAUUUCUUCUUCAUAAUUAAAAUAAUUCAAAAAACCAUAUACUAUCUACUUCAAGCCUUUUACAUUAAAUUCACCAAUUAUAUUGUAUUACCUAAAGUUUUUUUCAAGAAUGCACCAAGCACUUGGCUGUGGAAGGUAGAAUAGAAAUUAUAACAAUAAAAUCUUAAUUUUAAUAGAAUUCUAAAUAAAUUAUAAUUAAACCUUAAUAAUAUAUAAAUAAAAUUUAAUAAAAUUCAAAACAAAUCUUAAAGAAAUUAUAAAAAAAAAUAAGAGGAAAUUUUUAAAAAUUAAAAUAAUAUCCACAAUAAACCUUAAAAGAAUGCUUAAGAAAUCCUAAAAAGUACUAAAAUAAUUACAAAUAUAUCUUAAAUAAAUCUCAAUCAAUUUCUAAUAUAAUCCUAGUUGAAAUAUUAAGAGACUUCAAUCAAAUCCUAGACAAAUCCUUAAUCCUAAAUCAAACCAUAAAUCAAAGCCUAGACAAAUCUUCAAUCUUAAAUCAAAUCCUAAAUCAAAUCUUAGACAAAUCUUAAAUCCUAAAUCAAAUCCUAAAUCAAAUCCAAAACAAAUCUUAAAUCAAAUCCUAAAAAAAUUCUAAAUCCUAAAUCAAAUCAUAAAUCAAACUUUAGAUCUUAAACCAAAUCUUAUAUCAAAUUCUAAAAAAAUCUUAAAUUCUAAACCAAAUCUUAUAUCAAACCCUAGACAAAUCCUAAAUCUUAAACCAAAUCUUAAAUCAAAUCCUAGAUAAAUCCUAAACCUUAAAUCAAAUCUUAAAUCAAAUCCUACUCUAUAAAUUAAAUCCUAAAUCAAACUCUACACAAACCCUAAAUUCUAAAUCAAAUCCUAACUCAAAUCCUAGACAAAUCCUAAAGCCUAAACCAAAUCCUAGAUCAAACCUAAGCCUACUCAAUCUUAUUCUAGCAUAGUUUAGAAUCUUAAUAUCUAUCAACUAAACCAUUGAUUUUGCAUAAAAUUUUACAAACCUUUCAACAACUAAGUUGGCAAUAAGUACACAAAAAUUGAAAAUAAUUGUACAUACCAAAUAGAAGAAAAAUCCUAAAAUUUUCUUAGGUAUUGGUUGGCCUUCUACUCCAAUCUGAAUGUUGAACUUCCAGCACCAAUAUCUCCUUAUUGAACCAUUUAAUUUUUUAAAAAUUUCACAUGUGUAUAGUAAAUCAAGUCUUUUACGUCUAAACAUAAUUUUUAUUCUAAUCCAAUCAGUAGAUUAUUGAAGAUCUUAGAUAUCUUAAGUGCCUCUUAAAAUUUAAUUACCAAAAUCUUAACCUACUUGAAAUUCAAUAGCCUUCAAUUCAACCUUUUGAUCAAGCUCAAACUUAUAACAUAAACUUCAAACAACUAUUCUUAUGAGUCUUCAAAAUGUGAACUAUAGAUCUUCUAUCAAACUCACAAAAUUCUCUAAAACUUAAUAUCUUUUUUAUUUCACAAAUUCUAAAGUCACUCAAAAUAAUUGUGACUUUGCAAAGCUCUUGCAAAGUUAUUAAACACUUAAUUCUAUUCAAAUUAAUAUUAAAAAAAUCUUAUUUAAUUUGCUCUCAAAUUCCAUUUUUUAAUCUACCAAAGAAUCUUUGAGUUGCCAUUCAUACCUGGUUUUGUACCUUGGGGUCUAAUUUCAGCCUAGGUUGAUAAUAAAUCCUUUUUGGAUAGUAAUUUUUUUUUGAGUUAAUUUUUAUUUAAAUAAAUUCCUAAUUUCUUCCUAUAUAUGUUCAUAUUCUUUACUUUUCUAAUCUACCUUGUUUUAUCUUAUUUAUGGCCUUACAAUAUAAAUAAAAGUCUAAUUUAUAAAAAGAUAACAUUUAAAGCUUUAGUUCUAUUUUCUUUUGGACUAUUGUCUAUUUUUAAAAAUAAUUUGAUAUAAUAUUUGAAGUAAAAUCUUCUAUAAUAUAAUAGAUUCUUAACUUCUUUCACUUAAGAGUUCUAUUAUAUCAUGACAUCAUGUAUUGUAAAAACUUAUAGAUACAAGAUUAUAUGUGAAAUAUAAAAAGUGUGAAUUCCACACUACUCAAGUUGAUUUCAUAGGAUACAUCAUUUCUAAUAAAGGGCUAAUAAUGAAUCUGUAGAAGGUCUUUACUAUCAUGGAUUGAGAGACUCUAAAAAUCGUAUGAAAAAUGCAAUGCUUUUUGAUCUUUGUAAAUUACUAUUGGAUCUUCUUUAAGAAUUUUUCUUAAGUUGCAACUUCACUUAUACGUUUGACUUGUAAAGACAUUGUUAAUGGAAUAAAGAAGCCAAAUCAUUAUUUGAUGCUUUAAAAAAAGAGUUUAUUUUUGUAUUAAUCUUAUAUCAUGUUGACUUCUCCAAGCCAUUUUUUAUGGAAAUUAAUACAUCAGACUUUGUCUUAAUUGGAGUAUUAUCAUAAAUGGAAAUACAUGACAAAAUCUAUUUAGUAGCUUUCUAUUCCAAAAUAUUUUUAACAACCGAUAUUAAUUAUGAAAUCCACAAUAAAGAAAUUCUUAUAAUUAUAGAUUCAUUUUAAGAAUGGAAUCGUUAUUAAGAAGGUGCAUAAAGUCUAGUUAUUAUAUAUGCAGAUCACAAGAACUUCAAGUAUUUCAUGUCAGCACAUAUUUUAAAUUGUCACUAAGUUCUUGUAGCAUGUUUUUAUCAAGAUUUGAUUUCAAAAUCAUUAUCGAUCCAAAAAACAAGAAGGUUUGUUAGACACCCUUUCUAGAUGUUCUUAUCUUAUACCAAAAGAAAGAGAUGUAUCUUUUGAUUAACAAAGAAUGAUUCUUUUGAAGCCAAAAUAUUUUCACCUUUAAGCAACUAAAUCAACAUUGACUAUUGAUUCAACAUUUGUCAAGCAAAUUCAAUUAAGUAUGUCAUCUAAUUCUCUUGUCCAUGAUAUGAAGAAUAAUUCUUCUAAGUCUCAUGAUACUUCUAAAUUCAAGUUCAAAAACAACCUAUUCUAUUUUGAGGGAUGAUUAUACAUUUCAGAAGGUAGGACAUGAAUUCAUAUUCUUCAAACUCAUCAUGAUUUUUCAGUAGCUAGAUAUUUUAGAUACAAUAAGAUUAUGGAGUUAAUAUUGAGAUAUUUUUGGUGGUCUCAAAUGUGGUUGUUUCUAUGGAUUUUAUUAUAGAUCUUCUAAUCUCAUAUUUGUAUGAUUCUUUAUUCAUGGUAGUAGAUCAUUUUAUUAAAGUGGCACAUUUUGUACCAUAUACAAAAUCUAUCAGAGGUGACGCAAUGGCUAUGUUUUUUCUUAAUCUAUGAUAGCAAUCUAUUGCUAUCAUAGAUUGUCUAAAGAUAUUAUAUCAAAUAAGAAGACUCAAUUUAUAUCAAGAUUUUGGAAAAUUCUUUUUAAGAUUUUAAAGGUAGAUAUAAAGCUUUUUUCAACUUUUCAUCCUCAAAUUCAUAGACAAAUGUAAUGUAUGAAUCAAGUUUUGAAAUAGUACUUGAGGUAUACCAUCAACUAUCAUCAAGAUGAUUGUACAACUCUUUUACCAUUGAUAAAGUUUGUGUACAAUAAUUUGGUACAUUCUUCUACUCAACAAAUACCUUACUUUCCCAACUAUAGUUAUCAUCUACAACUUGAUAUUUUUGACUUUUUAAAAGUUGAUAAUCUUGCAACAAAAGAUUUGAUAAAUCAUUUCUCAAAGCUACAUAUAACAAUGAAGGCAUAGUUAAAAGGAGCUCAAGAACAACAAAAAAUUAAUGCAUAUGCUUAUUGCAAGGAAUAACCAUAAUUUAAUGUAGGUGACAAGGAAUGGUUACUUCGUUGCAAUAUCAAGACUACUUAAUGUAGGUGACAAGUUGGACUAUUGUAGGCUCAAAAUUUUUUUUAUUAGAAAAUAAAUCAAUCAUGUUACUCAUUGACUUUAUCUACUAUAACCUAUGAAGAUCCAUCUUAUAUUUCACGUAUCUUUUUUUGCACUAUAUAAGAUAAUGAAUAUCUUGAGAAGAAAACAAAUGCCACCUCGUCUUAUAGAUUGGAUAAUAACAAGAGUUCAAGUUAGAAAAGUCCUAGAUUCAAGGUGGUGCCAAAACAGAUUAAAAUAUCUUGUUCAUUGGUAUGGAUAUGAUAUUAGUAAACAAACAUGAAAGUUAACAAAGAAUCUUGUGAAUGGAGUAAAGAGAGUUGAAGCUUUUCAUCAACUACAUCUAUCAAAAUCAAGAUGAAGAAUAGAAAAUCUUUGCUAUUAAAGAAAUAAGAUUAAAUGAAGAUAAUAGUUUACUUUUUAUUUGUCUUUGUAGCUUUUGUGUAUUUGUGAUGCUAAGGAAAUGGAGAACAAACAAACAACAGAUUUAACUUAAGAGCUUUUAUUUGUGGACUUAUUGGUGUUGUACUGUAAUUACUUAUAAUAUAUAAAAAUUAAUUAGAACAUAUAAUAUGUUCAUAAAUCUUGGUGUGUAUUAGAAUGAUUAAUAGAUUAAUUUAAAGAAAGUGGAUAUAAGAAACUUUUUUUUGAAUUUUAUUUAUUUUGAUUUGGCAUUCAAAAAAAUAUAGGACCUAAAUAUUUAGUAUGAAGCCUUGGGAGAAGAUAGAAGCCUAAGGAUGAAAAUCUAAACUAGUAGGAGGCUAAUUAGGAGGGAUGAAAAUAAGGCAUGGUCAGAUGAAGACAAGGAAUGGAAAAUUUCAUCCCUAUUGGUUAAAUACCAUACCUAAUGGACUUUGAAGAGGCUUCCUGUGACCAUAACAAGGAUUUUCAGAAACUUCAAAGAAAGCAUUCGGAAAUUAAAAGCCAAGAUUAUAAAUUUUAGGAUUUUGAUUAAAAUUUGGGUACAAAAAUUAAAGAAUUUGGAAUUAGGAUGAAGAAGUUAUAGCCAUUUGAAAUUAAGAUGUUAAUUUAAGACAUAUUGUUACUCUUUUGAAGAUACGAGUUGUUAUACAAUAGCUUUUGAAGAUCAAAAAGUAUAGCUGAUAUGAUGAUUUCAAGGCCUAUAUUUUUCAUAAAAGAAUUAUUGCUUUUAGAGUUCAUGUGAAGGAGUUCUAGGGAGUUGAAGGCGACGCUUCUAAAUCAAAGGUAGUAAGUGAGCGGUUUUGUUUAUAGUAAUGGUUGGAGCCAUAACAUGAGUUUUCAGACGAAUUUUAGCCUCAAAAUUUUUAGAAAAUAUAAUAUUUUGUAUUAAGAAGCUAUAUAUACAUAUAUAUAUAUAUAUAUAUAUAAUUCUUGGGAUUUGAGCUUAUAUUUUGUGAGAUAUGAAGAAAAUUGCAUGUAGGUGUAUAAAGUCAUGGGUUUUAAGUGACUAUUAGGAUUUUCAAGUUAUCUAAAGAUUUGCAACAAAUUUGUAAUUGAAAUUUAUUAUGAAAGUUAAUAAGAGUACAUCAGUACUUCAUAUCAAUUUUGAGUUUAUUUGGAUAGUCAGAUUAGGAGAUAUGAAGUAUUGAAGUUUGGAAAAAUUUCCACAUAAGGAUAUACAAGGUUUUAGAGGAUUUUAUCAUAUUUUGGAUGUUGUUGGUUACUUGAGACUUAUGUAUUUGGUAUAAUUGCUUAAAAAAGAAAUUUUUAUAUAUAAACUUAAGACUUUCCUUAUUUUAAAUUUUAAUUGAACAAAUAGUGAUAGCUAGAAGCCUAGCAUUUUCUUGAAGCAAAUUCUCUUUAUCCUAACAAAAUGUUGGGAUUGUCACAACUUUUAAGACGGUAAAAUCAAGAUGAAGAUACAUGUUUUACAUAUUUACAAAAAUAUUUGGAUGUAACUAUAAUUAACUCUAGAUGCCAAAGACUUUAGAUAUUUAUAUUCUAUUAUUAUUUGAUUUAUUUUGUAUUAAAAUAAUAUAUAAUUUUGAGUAAGUUUUAAAAAUUAAAAGUAACUAUUAUAUAUAUAUAUAUAUAUAUAUAUAGAUAUAAUUUUUUUUCCUCGUAAAUAAUCAAAUGUAUUAAUUUUUUAAAUAUAUAAGGGAAAAAAUCUAGAAUCUAAAAUUAUUCUAUGAUGGAUAAAUUUCAUUCAUCUUCCAUGAAAUAAGUGAUACUUACUUUUCUGUUUGUGCAACUUAUUUGAUUUAGUGCCCAUGUGGACUUGUUUGAGUGCUUUAGUACCUUGGCUUAAUCCUUAACAAGAUCUCACCACAUUCUAGUACCUUAAUCUUAGCAGAUGUUGCUAAAAUUUAAUAAUAAUAAAAAAUAAAAAGUCAAAAAAUAAAAUUAUAUUCAUUUAAAUAAAAUAUCAAAUUUUAAAAAAUAUAAGUGACAAUUUUAAAAUAAAAUAUUGUAUGAUGUUCAAUAUUUUUAUUUAAAAAAAUAAAUAUAUUCAAAAUAUAUAAAAAAUAAAAUAUAAAAUACUUUAUAAGUUAACAAGUUAUAUAAACCUCUGGUCAAGAAAUUAAUACAAAAAAUAUUAUAAAUAUAUAUACAUAUAUAUAUAUAUAUAUAUAUAUAUAUAUAGCUUAUGAUUAUAAAACAAAUAUGUAUAUAUAUAUAUGUAUAUAUAUAUAUAUAUAUAUAUAUAUAUAUUUUAUUAUAUUACAAUAUGCAUAAGUUAUAAAAAUAGAUUAAAAAUCUCAUAUCUAGAUUUGAAAUCUUAAUACAUUUAAAAUUUCUUUCUAAAAUUUUCAAAUAAAAUUUUAUUCUAAAAUAUAUUUAAGAAAGGGUUUUGAAUUUUUUUUUUAAAAAAUACUUUUGAUAAUUAUUUAAUUUAUCUGAAACAUAUAUUUUUUAUUUUUUCAUCUUUCAAGUAUUUAAAUAUUAUACUAAGAAAAAAAAUAAAAUUUGUGACAAGAAUACAUAUAUAUGUAUAUAUAUAUAUAUAAUCUAAUUCUGAAAGAACUCAACUACAUCUUUUUUAAAAUGUUAAUUUUUUAGGUUGGAGUUUUAAUUUACAUUAAAAGGCAUACUAUACCUACCAACCAAAGAUUUAACUUACAAAUGUGAUUGAGUAAUUAUACCAAAAAUGCAUAACUAUCAGCAAAUUUAAACAUCCACAAACAUCCAAUAAAAUCCAAAAACCUUGUAUAUUGAGAAAACAGCCAACAUUAUUUAAAGUAUUAGAAACCAGUAAUAUUUUGAAAUAACAUAAAUUAAUUCAAAAUCAUAUCAAAAAAAUAGAAGUAGAAGAAUAUCUUUUCUUACAAUGUUCUCUUUAAAAUACUAGUAACAUUACACUAUGAAAAUACUGAAGCCAAAACUUCUGUUACAGAAGGAAUAAAAUACUCUUCAAUUUCUUCAUAUUAUAUUUUUGAAAUAUAUAAUUUGUUGCAUUUCAUUAGAGACCUUAUAAUUUAAAUUUUUAUAUCUAAAAUUUUAUUUAUCUAUUUAUUUAAAUUCUUUAAUACAUAUAAAAUAGAUAAAUAUAUUUAUGCAGUGAAUCAAACAAGCUUGAAUAAAUUCAUUUCUACACCAUAGUGGAGUUUUUUUUAAUGAUAAUAUAAAUUAAGCAAAUAAAACUAAUUCAGUUAAUUUAUCUUAUAAUGUUUGUUUCUUGAAAAAUCUUUGACAUAUUCCUAAGGCAUUUUAGUUUUUAUAAUUUCUGUAAUUAAAGAUGCAUGUGCACGUUGUCUAUUUUCUAAUCUAAAGUAAAAAAUAUUCAAUUUCAAGCAUAUAACUUAUUAAUUAUAAUAAAUUCAAAUAAAAAACAAAAGUGAUGCAUUAAUUAGACACUACUUUUACAUUUAAUUAAAAUAUAUGAAAUUAGUGAUGUGAAACUAUUGUUUAUAUUUGGCACUAGAAUUUGAAACAGUUGGGAUGUUUAGUGUAGAAAGUUUAUAUAUUUGCAAUCCAAUAUUGAUUUUAAUCAGUUUUUAAACAGACUUAUAUACAAUAAAAAAUUAUCACAAACAUCAAAAGUUUUUAGAAUUCCAACUUAAUAUGCAUUUGUUAAAUAUCUACAUAUAUUUGAUUACAUUGGUGUCAAGAAAAUCAAAGAAGAAAGAAAUAAAAAAGUUUAGAAAUUAAAUUUCUUCCAAAUAUUAUAAUAAAAUUUUAAUAUAAAAGAUAAAUACAUCAAUAUAUAUAUAUAUAUAUAUAUAUAUAUAUAUAUAUAUUUCUUAAAUCCUAUUUUUUAGCAUUUAAAUUUUAAAAAUAAUUUUACAUUAAAUAUGACUACUUAUAUAAAAAUAUAUUAUCCUUAUCAUUAUUUGAAGAAUUAUUUUAGAUGUAUUAUUGCAAAAGUAACAUCUUGUUAAUUUUGUUAUAACUUAGACAAGUUUCUUAAUUUUUUUUUUUUAUCUAGAUUAAAUCCAAUUCUCAUUUAGAUUCUUAUUUUAAGAUGAUUUUGUUUAAAAUUAUCCAGUCAAAUAAUGUUUCUAUCAAAUAUAGUUUUUAAGAGAAUUGUUUUCUUUGGUUUCUUAAAUAUUGUCGUAAUUGUAUCUGUGCUUAUACUAAAUUCUUUAUUUUAGGUUAAAAAUUAAUAAGAUACAUAUUUUUUAAUUUUUAAUUUUAAAAAGUAUAAUAUAAAUUUUGUGACGAUCGGCUUUUCAACAAGCUUGUACAUACGGUAUCAAUUCAAGAAUACAAUAUCAACUUCUAACAUUAAAAAAUAAAAUUUUAAUGUAUAAUUAAAAAAAUAUUUGUUUUAAAAUUUAUAUAACUUAAAACUAAAAGAGAAAUUUUGGUAUUAAUAUUUUUAAAAAGUAAACAUUGCAUUAUUAUCAAAUAUGAGAUUUAUCUCCAAAUAGAUAGAAAGGGUAAUCAAGUAAAUCAAAUCUUAAAUUAUUUAAGUUCUAACUAAAAAAAAAAAAUUAAUGUGUUAAAAAAUAAUAAAAAGUUAAAUUUGAUAACAUGUUUAACAAUCAAGAAAAAAAAUUCAAGAAAUUUAUUAAAAGUGUCAUUUUAAUCCUUUUACAAGAUUUAAACAUAUUCAACAGAAAAAAGUAUUUUAUUUGAUUUUUUAUAAUAUUUUUAUUUUUUUAAUUUAAUAAAUUAUAUUAAAAAUAAUUUUCUAGAAAUAAUAAAUGCAUAUGUAAAGUGAAAUGUAAAGUGGGUCAAAAAGUAUUUUGAGUGCAAUACUCUAUAUGCCAUAAGAUCCAAUAACAAAAUAUAUGUCAAAGUUUUAUUUUUUAUUAUGGAAUUUUUUUAAAAAAUUAAAAAUCACUUUUAAGUUGAAUUUACAAUUGAAAUAUAAGAUGUCUCUAAAAUCUUUUGUUUUUGCUGUUUUUAUUAUAAUACACACUUUUGAAAAGCCUUUUGUAGGAUGACAACAUGACUAAAAAGAAAUCAAUAUGAUUCUUAUUAUAAAACAUAAAGAAAUCAAUUAGUCAACUACACUUUAAAAAAUAUUUUUUUGAUAAAAGAUAAGAUUGACAUUGGUAAAAGACAUUGAUUUCUAUAUAAGAGAGAUCUAAGCAUCCAGAGGAAAAAUACCAGCUCAAGAAGAAGAAGUUGAAACAAAUAAAAAUAAUUAAAAAAGAAAAACACACACUCACACACACAUUUAGUCAAAUUUAGAUAAUUAUUUUUACUAUGUUCUCAACAACAGUAGCAAUAAAAAAAAAUAAAAAAAUAAAAAAAUAAAAGAAAACUCCGUCAACUUUAUUCACGUCGUUUUACAAAUUUAUUAUUAUUAUUAUUAUUAUUUUGGUUUAAAUGAGUGGCGUAGUGAAGUUCCGAACAUCAUAUUAAUCCACGUCUGAUUUUUACACGCCGAUUACAAUUUGAGGAGGCCACAAGUAAACCUCCACAUCGCAUGACCUGUACAGAGGCUUGAUUGCGGAUCAUUCAUACCAUUAACACAAAACCACACUGUAACGCCAUAAUAAAUCCAGUUCAGAAACAUCGAACAAUGAUUCGUCGACUGUGAUUACACUACGAACUUUGAACUACGAUUCCUCUCUAUCUAUGCUGAUUCAGCCAAGAAAAAACUGCACAAUACAAGCCACCGUUUGAAGUCACACUGUAACCUAUUCAAUCGUAUAUAAAAAAAAUACAAUAUAAAAUAAAAUAAAAAAUUGAGUAAAGAGUAAGCUGGGUAACGUGGCAUUCAAGUGAGUUGGAAGAAUAACACAAGCUGGGGCUGUUCCGGGCUGUGGAGGGAAGACAAAAUUUGGUAAUUCUGGACAGUUAUGAAAAAGUGACAUCGCUGAUGCUGCAGGACGAUGAUGAUUCAUGACACCGCGAGGUUUGAAGUCAAAAGAAGCACAAAAGGUAUGUGAGGACGAGGGACACCUCCCAUUUGUCAUGUCUAAGUUGUCCACCCAUUCAUCGUCCAAGACAUCCAACAGCCCUUCAAUAAGGAAAGAGAAUUCUAGGGGGCUUUGUUUCUCGCACGACUUCCCCUGAAAGCCUUUGCGCUUGCAAAGUCAUAACCCAAAAUUUAGUAAAAUCGUGUGGUCAUCGGCGCUUUGGAGUAAGAUGAGAGUUUCAUUGACAUAAUCGAAACUCCCGAGUAGAGUUCUUGUGAAGGAUGAAACUAACCACAGUUGACACCCGUUGCCUGAUCGAGUCAAGGCUUGGAGAGACGCUGAAAUUUGAUUGGAUUCCUCCCCGCCAGGAAUGCAGUUGAAGUGCAGAAGUUUAAUUGUCUACAAUUAAGUUGUAAAGAUUACAACACCCUACGUUUUUUUACCAGGGCGAGCAGUAAUUGUUUCGUGUACGCAAGUGCAAAUGCGAGAAAAUUGAUAAGAUAUACUGGGUGGCUGGAGCCAGGUGCUCAUUGGUGGCGGUUAUAUGGGAGCUCGACGGUUCCUCGCAGUGGAUCACUCAGUACGAAUGAUAACGUUAAAGGCAUAGGCCCGAAUCAAUGAUGCGAUAGCCCCUCCUACGACCUCUUCCGAUGCCACUGAAAUGCAAUGAAAUAUAUGACAACGACACAAUUGUCAAAAGCUACGAAGCCAUUUGCCGAUUGUGACCGCGAUGUCAACAAAUUCUCCCCUGGGGCUGCCGAAAAUGAAAAGUUUGGGCGGAGGAUGCGACUCUGCGAGUUCUCGACAAGGGUCAAUACCGAGAACAAGUACAGCCACUGUGCAAAUUCAAAUUGUAAAGUUGUUAAUCGCACCACAAAAUGAGUUUGACAUUGACUUCGUUUCGAAAGGACCUUGUGUCAACAGAUAACACUUGGUUAGCAUGCUUUCGCUACCAGACUUAGAGGAGCGCGCUUUGUCGAAAGGAGUCGAAAAAGGCAGGGUAUUAAGCCCCUACACGCCCACGCGACGCGCAGCUCCGCUAGUGGAGCGAAUGAACAACGACCGUGUUUAUCCAUGCGGUUCGCACUUUUGACGAUCAAUCACGCAAUAUUCAAUCUGGGGAAAGACUUCAAGCCAAGACAGAGAGGGCACUGAUGGCAAAAUCCUGUCUCAUCUCAGAUAACGGCAUCAUGGUAAUCAACCCGAGCGACUGAUUUCAUAUACCAGAACUGUGCAGCAUGGUCCGCGUGAGUGACGGUACGUGAUCCCGAGAUGGUUCGACCACUGAAGACUGAUAACGUGACCGAUUUGGCUUAGAUUGCCUACACGAGUGUUCACCGAAGUCACAGUGUCUCGAUAAGGGGCAUGGAUCCUCACCAGGACCGAGACCCACAUCCGAGUUGCAUGGAAGCAGUGCCACAUCGAACAGACGACAAUGAUGAGAAUUUGAACUUCGCGAAAGGAAGACUGAGGGUCGAAUAGUCCAGGUUAUAAAGAGCAAAGUGACGGCCCGCUUUGCUGACAUCGAAGCUCCGUAUCUACCUCUCUCUGGACAUGAUUGGGCUCCGCGUCGCCUUCGUCGCCACCACAAGCAUUCACCGACAGUGGGUUGUUUCCGCUUCUUCUAGCUCCCUUUUUGUCCCACACCCAGUUGUUCCACAUGACAACUCCAUCGCCAGCAUGUGGGUUUAUCAAUCACUAGUUUUUUUUUUUUUUUUUUUUUUUUUUAAAUGUAGUAGUGGGUGUUAAAUGAGGGAAAUUGGUAGUAGAAUUGCUCUUCUGGACAAUAUGAUAAAGUUGUAUUCUUUUUUUUGCAAAGAUGUUUUUGGUACGUUUGUGGUAAAAUUUCAUUUUUAUAUUUUAUUUAUUUUUUCAUAAUACAUCUACACAGUACUACUUUGAAUAUCACUUGAGUGUUUUUCUUCAGUGUUUCCCUGAGCAAUGAAUAACUUUGAAACAAAUUGUUGUUAAAAUCCUACACCUUAAGUUAAUUAACUUCUCUUUUAAUGUUUCAGUAGUUUAAUGGGAAGAUGUAUGAAGGAAACCAUGAUGAUGGGAGGAAAAAUAAAUAUAUACCAUUAACAUUGCGCUAAUUUUAAUUCCCACAAAAUUCAUAUUUAGUUGAUCAUCCUACGAGCCCACGUCCACGUAUCCUUCAACUAAACAAUCGAAUGGAACUUUCAUCUCUCUACUCAACAAACCAAGUCGAAAUUGAGAUUCUUUGGACCUAAUGAUGAAGAUGUGCCAAAAACCCAAUUUUCACUAAUCGUUCAGUGUGUGUAACCAGCUUAUAGAACUUCAGCUUUUCUUACCCCCACAAAAUAUUUGUUUUUCUUUCAGGAUUCGUCUGAUUCCACAGGUCAUCUCGAAGUGGGAUACUGUAGUACAGGCGCCGGUUUUAGGGUGGUAACGUACGCCGACAACCGUGGCGCACGACCACAGGCAACCGAGCCGAUCUUUUAAGGCGCUUUCGUUGACAAUGUGAGUCUCGCCGACGUCUUUUCCGAGGUCAAGCACCUGGAGGGGCCUCACAGUUGAAAUCUCAGGUACCUCAAGCCGGAGUUCCGCAGCGGUCUACGAUACAUAUAUGGAGAGCUGAUAAACUGCAAAGCCACGCCUCACUCGUCAUUUUCGGGACCGCUGAAGCAGCCCAAGUCGUUGCGCUUGUCAACGAGUUCCUCUGCGAGGACUAGGUCCUUGUCGGACAUUCCUGUCACUGGUAACUACACUCGUGAUCCGGCUGUAUUGCUGUAGACUUUGGAUUUGGCGCAGUGGUGAUUAGAUGCUUCGUGGGUGAUGUACUUGGACAUGUACAUGAUUGACUGUGCUGGCUUGAGGAGUUAGAGACAUGAGGGAAGUUUAUGCGGAGCGUGGUUUCGAGAUGGGUGGACUUGUGUUGGCUAGGAAUUUCGGGGUCGUGACAUGGGGUUCGAUUCUUGCGAUGUUGAUAGUGAAUGUAGUCACUGCGGUCCCACUUCCUCCGCCGGACGUUGCAGAGUAUUGUAACAGCGAGGAGCGGUGCUGCAUGCCGCGCCCUUACGUGGGUCAACCUGCACACCAAUUCUACCCGGACCCUGAGCUCCCCAUCAGGAUCCGGCGCCCCGUGCACUUGCUCACCGAUGCCGAAGUGGCCAGACUCGAGAGGGCUUAUCAACUACAAAAAGACCUUCCGGAUUCUGAUCCUCGAUCAUUCACCAACCAAGCGAAGCUUCACUGCCUGUACUGCGACAGCGGAAUCUACUACCCCGACAACCCCUGGCCGCUUGAGAUUCACAACGGCUGGUUCUUCUUCCCAUGGCACCGGAUGUUCCUGUACUUUCAUGAGCGUAUUCUGGCCAAGCUGCUGGACGAUGACACCUUUGCACUUCCGUUCUGGAAUUGGGACAAUCAAACACCGGAGGAGCCAUACGCUAAUGUCUUGCCGAUUUCUUAUGCAAAAUCAGGCUCUCCCCUCUGGAACCAGCAGCGCAAUAAAUGUGCAGAACCACCCUUGAUAAUUGAUUUGAACACAAUUGGAGGGUGCACGGCCAAGUCUCCUUCGGUGUUACGAACGGAGAACGACCGGAUCAUGUAUACGCAGGUGGUGUCGGGGGCUAUGUCGCCACAGCUCUUCUACGGGAUGCCGUAUAGGUAUGGCGAUGCGGGAGGACACGGGCCGGGGACGUUCGAGGAUAAUCCCCACGGAACAGUCCAUCUUUGGGUUGGGAAUCCAGAUUCGGAGUCCGGCAUGUUCGACGACAUGGGUAACUUUGGCAGAGCUGCAAGGGACCCCAUUUUUUACGCGCACCACUCUAACGUUGACAGAAUUUGGACUGUGUGGAAUACCCUUCCAGGAGAGCAGCGGAAAGCGCCUGUCGAUCCAGAUUUUCUCGACGCGAGGUUUACAUUUUUCGACGAAAACGGUGACUUGAUAAUCGUGAACGUUUCCCAGACGCUCGACAACGAGCUACUACGGUUCAGAUACGAGCAGAUGCCCACCGGAUGGGUUACGAACGGACAAUUACCAGGCGAGGAGAACAGCGUCCCUCUCUGCUACCGCGGAAAUCCUACCAAAACGAGGAAAUUGAUCGCCGACACUCCCUACUUCAAGCCAUCGAUGGUACUGCACACGGUACCGCUCACCUUCAAGGUGCAACGUCCCCGAAGACGUCCGGAGGUGGGCGUCGAGGUGCUAGAACUAUCUGGACUCUCGUUAAUCCCCGCGCUCCAGGCUCACUGGGAGGCUUUUCUCUUCCUCCCGAAUGGAAAUAACAAAACCACCGUGAGCUGUCCGGAGUUCAUCGGCACCUUCAACUACGUCGCGCACGUUGGCCAGGCGCUUUUCAACCGUGAGCGGAGGUGGCGUGUGGCAUUGGGACCGAAAAUCAUGGCGCUGGGCAAGGAGAACUACACAGAUGUGGUGAUCACUCUUGCGCAGUUCGGUCCCAACAUCCAGCCGAUUACAUUCGAGAGGGCUGUAGUUGUUUUCGACACAGACGGGGUUGAGUAAGACGUUUGUCGAUUGAUUCUCUACCGACUCUCUAGCUUGCAGCAGAUUAUUACAUGAUGAUCACGACGCCGAUGAAUUGGCUUAGACACUGGUGAUGGGAUCUGGUUAUCUGGAUCAUUGUUCCCAGUAAUCGUUGCAUGUUAGGAGUAGUAUGAUAGGAGUGUUUCGUAGUUGCAUUGCUUAGGCACCUAGUUGCAUGUUAGGAGUAGUAUGAUAGGAGUGUUUCGUAGUUGCAUUGCUUAGGCACCUAGUUGCAUUCAAGUAGAUUCAUUGAAUUGGAGCUCAAAGAGAAAAAAAAGGUGGAAACCGUCUCGCGAUGUUUUAAAAUCCCCCAACAAUAAAAAAAUCGCUUUGUCUUUGACUUCCAUAUGUGGCUCAGCAGGGGGUGCCUAGUGUCAGUACAAUCCAACAUGAACUAUUGUAAGAUCUUAAUUCCAUGAUGGAGUUGAUGAAAAAGGUGACAGCAUCCAACCCACACGCUCUCAAGUAACCGAUACCCUUGUCGAAUGUACGAUAAGCCCAUGUGCCGCAAAAUUCUACACAUGGAACACUAAUUUCAAAAGCAGACGGAAAGCGGUGCCACAAAAGCAUGGACCUCGCCCCAAAGCUUCACCACCAGAGUAAUAAAAAAGCAAGGUCCCGGUGGUUGAACCACCUUCCCAAUAGAAAAACAACAGAUGCAGACCCCUACCUCCCUGCCCAGGCCCCGCAACUCUUCCACAAACAGUAUCAAUUCAUAGAGGGGGGGUGUUGUCCAUUGAUUUGUGUGAUGAAUCUGAGAACUGAACCACCCUUCCCAGUAACGACCCCCUUCAACGUCUAGAAGCAAGGACUUCUCGGCGUUGACCCCCGCCGAGGUCAACGCCGAAGAAGUCCAAAAACCAACUUCCGAUGCUUGAAUCUGCACACCCCAAGUCAACUAGAAUCCAAAAAAACUGAGUUCUAUCGCUCUUCAUGCUGCAGUUUAUUGGCUCUUUCUGUUCUUUUUGGAGCUCAAAGUGGUCGAGUCCAUAGUAGUGUGUGUUAGUUGAAUGUGUACAGUUUGAGAAUUUUGAGGUUUCUUAUCUCUCUCUCUCUUUCUUCUUUCUUCUUUUCUUUUUCUUUAUUUUGUUUAUUUUUUCUUCUUUUCAAGGACUAUUUGAGUUUUUAGUAUGAUUAUGGAACUUUUUCUUUUUUGUAUUGAAAAGAUUCGAAAUUUCUAUAUAUGUAAUAGUAAUUGUUACAUGUUGUGUAAGGAGAAUCAAAUUGGACAUCUUUUUAUUUCACUUUCCAAAGUCAUAAGAAUAUCUUGUGAGGUUCUUAAUAUAUAUAAAAGUAAAACUCAAGUAUUAGAGUUACAUAAUUUGUGGAUAUUGCCUAAGCUUCUAUUUAUAUUAGUUAAUUGUGGUUGGAGUGUUUAAAUGCAUAAGUAGAGAAUUUGGCCAAAUUUUGAAUUCUUGGAUCAAUGGACAUUUGUCCACACAUGAUAUUUUUGCAAAAAUAAAAAUAAAAAUUAUCAAGCCAUGUUUGAAAAGAGGUAAUUCUUUUAUUAUAUUUAAAAAAAUAAUAAAUAAUAAUAAUAAAUUAAAUAAUAAAAAUAUAAUAAUCUAAAUUUUAAAAAUAAUUAAAUCUUAAAAUAGUAUAUCUCUCUUAUUUUUUUAUUGUAAAUAAAAAAAAUUAAAGAGAAUAAAUAAUUAAAUUAUACAAGCAUACAAAUAUAAUAUAUUAAAGACAUUCUAUACCUUUAUAAUAAGAAUUUAAUUUAUACCAUUAAUUUUUACCUAAAUUAAAAUUAAAUAAGUCAAAAUCCAUAUUAGAAGUAUUUUUUAAUAAAAUAAAUCUUUAGAAUUUGGUAUCUUAAUAUUUUAUUUUUAAUAUACAAUACAAAUAAUAUAAGUGUCAUAGAUAUACAUAAAUAUUCUAAUAAAUAUCUAUACGAUUAGAUAGAAGUAGGUAUAAAUAAAUAAAAGUAAGUUAAUUUUAUAAUACCUUCUAAAAAAGCUUCCUAGAAGCUUCAUAUAUAUUGAAGAAACACAAUAAGCAAGACACAAGUAAGUAGAAAACAUCAAGGUUAGACACAAGAGAAGUGUGUAAUAAGAUGCCUCUCACUUCCAACACUCUUUACUUAUAGGUAGAGGUUACAUCCAUUUUGGCUAGCAUUCAUCUUACUUUCAUCCAACUAAACUCUAAAUUCCUCUUAACCUAGCUGCCACUUUAAAUCUUAGCUGCCACGUUGGUAACUUUCUUUCAUCCUUUUGUUGCCCUUUGACCAUUAGCAACUUAUCUAAGAUAAUAUCUUUUACCUUCUAACUUAUCCUCUAUUUACUUUAACACUCCCACUUUGCUAUUGGUCAAAGGCUAAUAAACCUAAUUCCUUUGUCAAUUUUUAAUGUCUAUCUUUUACCAAUGCUUUUGUGAGCAAAUCAGCAAGCAUGUCUUCCGUUGCACAAUACUUCAUGUCAAUUACUCCCAUCUCAAUCUUCUCCCGUAUGAAGUGAUGUUGAAUGUCAAUAUACUUUGUCCUUGAAUGAUGCUUUGGAUUUCUGGCAAAAGAAAGGCAUUCUUGAUUGUUAAACUUCAUUAGAGUUGCUUCCAAUUGUACAAGUCCAAUAUCUUUUAAAACUUAUCUUAGCCAUAUUGCCUCCAUUGUACCAUAACUUGUUGCUAUGUAUUCCGCCUCCAUUGUAGACCUUACAAUUAUUGGUUGUCUCUUACAAUUCUAUGAAAUUGCUCCCAUUCCAAGAAAGAAUACAUAUGCCAUUGUUGAUCUUCUAUCAUUUGCAUUUCAAGCCCAAUCUACAUCACAAUAUCCAUGCAAUGUAAUACUAUCACCUCCAAGACACAAUUUGAAGUUUAAAAUACCUUUUAAGUACCUCAAGAUCCUCUGAAUGGUUAUCCAAUGAAUUGGUCCAACCUUUGACAUGUGUUGACUCAUGACACUCACCGCAUAUGCAAUAUCCAGCCUUGUACCAACCAUUGCAUACAUAAGUGAGCCUACUACUGCCUUCUAUGGAACAUCUUUCAUUUCUUCUUCAAUUUUAGUAAAUUUCUCAUCCGUAAGUUUCAUCAACUUCAAAUUUACCUCCAAAGGUGUUCUAAUAGACUUGCACUCCUCCAUAUUGAACCGUUUCAAUACUUCUUCAAUGUACUUCUUUUGGCUCAAUGUAAUGAUCUUCUUAGCUCGAUCUCUUACAAACUCCACUCCUAAGCAAUAGUGGAGCUCUCCCAAAUCACUCAUUUCAAAUUCUGUUACUAACUUUACCUUCAACCAAUCCAUCUUUUUCAAAGUAUUGGUCAAGAUGAUCAAAUCAUCAAUGUAAAGAAUAACAAUCAGCAAGAAGGCUUUUGAUUGCAUCACAUAUAUGGAAUGAUCAGCCUCACUCCUCACAAAUCCCUCAUUCACAAAGAAGGUGUCGAUACGUUGUCGUGAUGUAAUAUGACUAGUAGGUGAAAGGGUGAAGAAAUAUAUCAUAUUUUGAGGAUCUCACUUCAAAAAUAUUGUAGCAAAUUAUCUUGGAAAAAUAGAUAUUAGUAAAAGGGUAGAAAAAUUAAAGGUGCUAAUGCUGCCUUUUUACAAAUUAUGUUUCUAUUUACUUUGUAAGGCCAUAAAUAAGGCAAAACAAAGUAGAUUAGAAAAAUAAAGGAUAUAGACAUAUGUAAGGAGGAGUUAGGAGUGCAAAUUAGUAAAAAUUACCUCAAGAAGACGAAAGUUGAUACCCGGAGAGGGCCAGUUAUGAACCAGGGUCGAAAUCAGAGCCUAAGGCACAAAACCGAAUCUCGACGACGACUUCGGGACUCUUUGGAAAAUCGGAGAAUGGGAUUUGAUAGAAGAUUGAAUAGGGUUUCUAUAGGCAUUAAUUUUGGGUGAUUUGGAGUUGAUAUGACUUUGUAAGAGCUUUGCAAAAAGGAGGUUUGUUUUAGAUGACUUGGAUUUUAUGAAAUAAAAUAGGGUUUAUGUUUUGAGUGAUUUCGAGAGUUUUGUUGCAGAUCUAUAAAUGAAAUUUUUUGGAUUCAUGAUUAUAGUUGUUUUAAAUAUAUAUUGUGAAUUUGAGCUUGAUCUAACGGUUGAACUGAGAGAUAUUGAGGUUUAAUCAGGUCAAAGUCUUAGAAAGUAGAAUUUUAGGUCCAAUGAGGAUUAUUAAGAUUUCAUGCAAUCUUCUAGUUGGAUUGGAGUAAAACUUAUGUGAGAGGGUAUUAGACUUGUUUUUCUAUGUCCAUGAGAAAUUUGAAACCAAUCGAACGGCGCAAAGAAGAGAAAUUGGCUCUGGAAGGUUGGCAUUAAGAUUGGAGAAGGAGGCCGGCUAACACCCAAACACAUUUUUGAGGUUUUCGUCAAUUAAGUAACUCCGAUCCUUUUCAAAUUUUUUGUGCUUGUUUUAAACUUGAUUUUUAAGAAGUAUGCAAAUUUUGAAUUGAGAUCAACGGUUUAUUCAUUAGAUAUUGAGGUUUAAAUCUGUCAUAGGAAUUACUAGAAUUUGGAUUAGGGUUUGGCUAGGGUUCGAUUUAGGAUUUGGAUUAGGGUUUGGAUUAGGGUUUGGCUAGGAUUUGGAUUAGGAUUUGGAUUACGGUUCAGAGUUUGGUUAGGGUUUGAUUUAGGAUUUGGAUUAGGAUUUGGUUAGGAUUUGAUUAGGGUUUGGAUUAGGAUUUAGGGUUUGGUUAGGAUUUAGGGUUGGAUUAGGAUUUGGAUUAGGAUUUAGGAUUUGAUUAGGGUUUGAUUUUGGAUUUGGAUUUGGAUUUGGAUUAGGGUUUAGGGUUUGAUUAGGGUUUGAUUUAGGAUUUGGAUUAGGGUUUAGUUAGGGUUUGAUUUAAGGUUUGGUUUAGGGUUUGAUUAGGGUUUGAUUUAGGGUUUGGAUUAGGGUUUAGGAUUGGAUUAGAAUUUGGAUUAGGAUUUAGGGUUUGAUUUAGGGUUUGAUUUAGGGUUUGGUUUAUGAUUUAGGGUUUGAAAUAGGGUUUGAUUUAGGAUUUAAUUUAAGGUUUGUUUAGGAUUUGACUUAGGGUUUAGGAUUUAUUAGGGUUUAAGAUUUAAUUAGGUUUGGUCUAAAGUUUGAGUAAAAUUCAAUAGGAUUUUAACUAGAAUUAAAUUAAGGUUGAAUUGACAUAUAUUUGAGUAAUAUUUGUGAUCAUUUUAAUAUUUCUUUAAAAAAUUUAUUGUUUGUUUGAAAUUUCUUUGAGUUGUUUUGAAUUUGAAUACGUUUGUUUACCAUUAUUAUAGUCUAAUUAGAGCAUUGUUAAUAUUCUAUUAGAAUUAGGAUUUUGUUAUCAUAAUUUCUAUUCUUUCUUCUACAGCCAGGUGCCCAGAGCAUUCUCAAGCAAGACUUCACACAUUAUGACAACGUUGGUACUAUGCCCUUGAUGAUUGCUUGAGCCCAUACAAGGAUUUUAUCAACUUACACAAAAGGUGUUGUUUGCUUUUUUCAACAAAUCCUUGAGGAUGUCUUCUUUCAAUUCUCCAUUCAAGAAAGCCGUCUUCACAUCCAUUUGGUGCAUCUCCAAGUCUAUUGCUGCCUUAAUUGCUACAAUGGUUCUAAUGGUCGUGAAUUUGGCCAAAGGACCAAAUGCCUCAUUGAAAUCAACUCUAGUAACUUGUGAGUAGGCUUUGGCAACCAAACUUGCCUUAUACCUCACAACAUUGUCCAUUGCAUCCUUCUUUAUUCUAAAUACCUACUUACAACCAAUUGAAGCUUGAUUUGGUGGAAGUUGAGUCAAUUUCCAUGUUCUAUUAUCCAUGAGUGAUUUGUACUAUUCUUUCAUAACAUUCUUUUACUUUAUAGCAUCCGAGGACUUCAUUGCAUCACAUAAACUCAACAGAUCAGUAAAAAAUACAACAUUGGCAUGUUCUUUACUUAUUUGAAGAAAAAUAUGGUCCUUCUACCAUUCACCAUGUUGUUUUCUAUCUCUCAAAGGAUAUCUCUUUUCAUUUGAAGAAGACUCAACUUGUUGCACUCCAUGGUCACCUCCAACCUUCUUUCCUUUUAAAGAUAAUCUUUUCUCAUUCAAAGGUUCAUAAUCCUCAUCACCAUCAUCAUCAACAUCUUCAUGCUCUUCAUUGCUGGUCUUAGCAAUUGUAGAGGUCUUCUUGUCCACCUUCUUUGCCUCUUCAUCUUCAUUUCCACCUUUACAACUAUCAUUGUCUUUGUCUUCUUCUUUCUUUGUUGAAUUUGAAGACGUAUCUACAAACACACCAUUACUCCCACUUAGACACAUCUCCAAAUGCUCACAAGUAUUCUUGUACUCCAAAACUCAAUAUCAUGACUUUUGAUGAUCUUUUUAGUCUCCAAAUACAUGAACCUAUAAGCCUUUGUACCUUCACAAUAUCCAACAAAGACACAUUUUGUACCUUUUGCAUCAAAUUUUGAUCUCAUAUAAUCUUGUGUCUUUGCAUAAGCUAUGCAUCUAAAGGUCCUCAUGUGAGAAACACAAUGUUUUCUCCCACUCCAAGCUUCUUCCGGCAUCAUUGAUAUAAGUGCACUUGUAGGACACCUAUUUCUUGUGUACACUGCAUUCACCACUACUUCCAUCCAAAACUCAUGUCCAAGAUAUUGUGCAUGAAGCAUAUUCCUUGCCAUCUCUAUAAUGGUCUGAUUUGCUCUUUCAGCAACUUCAGUUUCUUGUAGAGUAUAAGGAGUGGAGGUUUGUCUUGCAAUACCAUGCAUCUUCAAGAAAUCAUUGAAUUGCUUUGACAUAUAUUCACCUCCAUUGUCCAUAUGUAAUAUCUUGAUUUUACACUUACAUUGCUUCUCUACAAAUGCCUUAAACUCCUUAAACCUUGUGAAAUACUCACUCUUUUCUUUAAGGAUAAAAAUCCACACCAUCCUUGAAAAAAUAUCAAUGAAUAUGACAAAGUAACUUGUACCUCCUAUUAAUGGUAUCUUCAUAGGUCCACAAACAUCAGAAUGGACUAUCUCCAACAACUUGGUUGCAUGUGUUGCAACUCCACUUAGAAAUAUAGCCCUUUGUUGUUUGCAUUGAAUACAACCUUUAGAAGCAAGUGUCAUAGCAUUGUAGCUUAUAUGACCAAGAUCUAAGCCACUUACUAUAGAUUGGAGCUCUUUCAUAUUCUUGACAUUCAAAUGAUCAAGGCAUUGAUGCCAAAUGCCAAACUUGUCUUGAUCUUGAAGAAAUUCAACAAAUGCCACUACUUCAACUUCAUUCACCUUCUUAUACUUGAUGAAGUAGAAGUUGCCUUGUCUAAAGUCCUUUGCAACAUCAUCUCCUUUCAAUGUCUUCACAAAACAUCCAUGCUUAUCAAAUUGCACUUUACAACCAUGUGAAACAAGUUUACUUACCAAGAGGAGGUUUUUCUUCAUCUGUGGCACAUGUAAGACGUCCUUCAAUCUGGUCCUCUUGGUUUGGCCUUUCACAACAAUCUCUAUAAUAAUAGAGCCCAUUCCAAUAGCUUCUAUUAUACCAUUGUCUCCUAUGAAGAUAUUUGCUAUUGAAAUUUCUUCAUAACUGUCAAAUAAACACUUGUAUGGAGUCAUGUGCUUGGUGGCAUCAGAAUCAAUGAUCCACUUAGACAUGGUAGCCAUGGAAGUGCCUUCACUUACUAUGAAUGCAUAAUCAUCACCUCCAUAUUCAUCACAAGUAUUGUUUGUACUUUCUCUAUCUCUUUUCUUAGCCUUGUAGCAAUUUCGAGCAAAGUGGCCUGGUUUUCCACAAAUGAAGUAAGUUCUCACAUUGCCACGUUGGUUGGGAUGACUCUCCUCACCUUGCCUUGAAAAUAGAGCCGAAUCCUCACUUUGGGGCUCUUUUUCUUUCUUCUUGGUCAUGUCAUGGGCAAGUCUUGCCGUCACAUAAUCUAUUAUGAGUUCUUUUACUUUGAUGGAUUCCAAUGCCACAAUGAGGUAGUUGUAGGACUCGGGAAGGCUCAUAAGCAAGGUCAUGAUAAUAUCACUCUCUUCUAAAGGCUUGUCAACAAUUGUAAGUUGAUUAGCAAGGGCCUUACCUUAUUGACAUGAGCCAUGAGGUCUUCACCUUCUUCCAUCUUGCAAGUGAAGAAUUUUCUCAUUGUAAAGAUGAUAUUGAACAAGUUCUUACUCUCAUAUAUGUUGCAAAGAGUCUUCCAUGCUUUUCAUAGUCAUUUGCAAGAGAUGAUGUGAGAAAAGUUGGCUUUAUCUAAAUUAGUGGCAAUCAUGCCAAAAGCCUUCUUUUCACGUCUUGUGAAGUCCUUUCUCUCUUUAGCAUUAGCAUGCAUGCUUGAAGGCUCUUCACUUUCAUCUAUAAUGUCCCAAAGUUCUAAAGAUGCCAACAAAAAUUCUAUUUUGACCUUCCAAUGGUAGAAAUUGUCACCUCUAAACUUUUCAAUCACUCUCAAAUCUUCACCCUCACUUGAAGCCAUGUCUUAGAAGAGGUCUAUCACAAAAUAUCAAGAAAAGGAGUCUCUAUGUGCUUAAAAUUAUCAAAAUAAUUUUGUACUAGUAAAAUCUUAGAAUGCCCUCUUCUGAACAAAUGAAUGUUUUUUCACUCCAAACACUUCUGAAUCAACUUUUGAAGCUUCUAACAAGUAUGUGAACUCCAAUCAACCUAACCAUCAAGUUCUUAUACUCAUAAAACUCACUUUCUCACUACAAAACCAAAGACACAAUCAAGGUCUUUGUAUAAGGUCUUAAUCACUCAAUCCUAGGAAUUGAGAACCUUCAAACUCAUGUUGGAGAUCUAUAAGGCCCAAAUCAAAACCUUCACAAGUCAAAACACAAAAUUAUAUCAUACAAUCUCUAACAUCAGCAAACACCAUAAAAUCUAUUCCACACAAGAACAACAAUCAGUAAAUAACUUCACCUUACUUGAAUAGUACAACAAAGUGUGUGUGGGCCCAUAACCUAUUGAAGAAACACAAUAAAUAAGACACAAGUAAGUAAAAAAUAGCAAGGUUAGACACAAGAGAAGUAUAGAAUGAGAUGCCUCUCACUUCCAACAUCUUUUACUUAUAGGUAGAAGUUACAUCCAUUUUCGCUAGCAUUUAUCUUACUUUCAUCCAACUAAACCCUAGAUUCUUCUUAAUCUAGCCACCACUUUAAAUCCUAACUACCACCUAUAAUCCUAGCUGCCACCUUGGUAACUUUUUUUCAUCCUUUUACUGCCCUUUGACUAUUAGCAACUUAUUUAAGAUAAUAUCUUUUACCUUCUAACUUAUCUUCUAUUUACUUUAAUAAUAGAUGCUACUUUGACUUUACAUGUGUUUAUAGUUGAUUGAUAGGUAUCAAGGACAUGAAUCUUGAAGAAAGAAAAUCCUCAAUACACUCUUGUACCACUGAAAUGAAGUCGAAAGUCACUCAAAGAUGAUAUAUUAUUAAACUAGAAUGGCUAUUGCCAAAGACACAAAAGACUAGAAAGUCAUGGAAUAAGAUUAAAGACUAGAAAGAUGUUGAUUAGAUUAAAAAAAUCUUCACUCUUGCCUCUAAAUAUACUUUCUAAUUAAGAGCUACGUGGCAAUAUUCUAUAAGAUCUCUAACAUGUGUUGACUUUGCUAGCCACAUGUCUUAACUUGCAAGACAAGUUAUCUAUGUAUGCACCAUAUAGUUAGCUUGUUCUACAAGCUAAUAUAUAAAAUUAACUUGUUCUACAAGCUACCAACAUAUGAUUGACUUAUGGGCUAAGUUUCUAACCUACAAAUACAUCUAAAGUUAAAACUCCAUCUAUGAAGCUUUUUUAAAAGACUUUAUAAAAUUAAUCAAUAUUUAUUUACUUCUAUCCAAUCAUAUAAGUAACUAUUGGGAUAAAUGUAUAUAUCUGUAACAUUAUUUUUCCUUCUUGGAACAAGUUCUAUAAGGAGCAAUUAUCAUCUUUCAUAGAUCUUACAACUCUUUAUCUUGGUUUUGAUAGAUGUCAUCAAUGAAAGUCCUCAACUUUCUUUGUUGCAUUUACAAAAAAAAAUUCUUGUCUCCCAUGUGUACUCACUAUUAUCAUAUCUGUGCCAAUAACAAGAUAUUCUAAUGUAUUUUGGCGCUAUCUUGAAUCUAAGAUUUCUUCUACCUCAAACUCUUAAUUAUUAUCUACUUUUAUAAAAAGAAGUGGUAUUUGUCUUCUUUCCAAAAUAUUCAUUGUCUUAUAUGGCUUAAAAAGAGGUAUGUAAAAUACACGAUUGAUCUUCAUAGACUUUGGUAGAUGUAAUUGAUAAGUAAUAGAAUUGAUUUAUUCACAAAUAAAAAAAGAUUCCAGCUUAUUGUAGUCCAACUUAUUACAAAGAUGAUUACUAUUGAUAUUACAACAAAGUAAGCAUAUCUUGUCACCGACAUUGAAUUGUGGUUGCACUUUAUAAUAAGCAUCUACAUUGAUCUUUUAUCAUUCUUGAGCUUCUUUUAAUUAUAACUUCAUUGUUAUUUCUAGCUUUGAAAAAUGAUUUGUUAAAUCUCUUGCCAUAGAAUUAUUAACUUUUGAAAAGUCAAAUAUAUUAAGUUGUGCAUGACAACCAUAAUUGGCAAAAAAAGAUGUUUAUUGAAUAGAAGAAUGUAUCAAAUUAUUGUAUGUAAACUCUGAUAAUGACAAAAGAAUUAUCCAAUCAUCUUGAUGAUAAUUGAUGAUAUAUCUCAAUUAUUGCUCCAAAACUUGAUUCACCUAUUCCAUUUGUCCAUCAGUUUGAGGAUGAAAAGCCAAAGAGAGCUUUAUAUCCACUUUUAGCAUCUUGAAAAGGAUUUUCCAAAAUCUUGAUACAAAUUGAGUCUCCCUAUGUAAUUUAAUAUCCUUUGGUAAUUCAUGAUAGUGAUAGAUAUUAUUAAUAAAAAACUUAGUUAUUUUUUUAUCUUAUAUAUUUAGUACAAAAUAUGCCAUUUUAGUGAAGUAAUCUAUGAUUACAAAUAUAGAGUCAUAUGAACUUAAACUUGAAAGAUUUAUAAUAAAAUCCAUAGAAAUAGAAGACCAUAGUUGUUCAAGUAUAGGAAAUAGUUGGAAAAGUUUAUAGGAUCAAUGAUAAGGAGUUUUUGAUCUUGAACAAACAUCACAUAAUUAGACAAAGUCUUUUAUUGCCUUUUGUAUUUACAGCCACUAAAAAUCUCUAGAUAUAAGCUCUAAAGUCUUGUUGUAUCCAAAAUAUCUUGCUAUGAGAAAGUCAUGACAUGCUUGAAAAACACGCAAACAUGCUUCUCCUUCUAGAACAUAUAAGUGUCAUUUGAAAUAGAGUAGGUUGUUCUUCAACUCAAAAUUUAAAAUAUUAUGAGAUUUAGAAGAAAGAUUCUUGAUAUUAUAAACAAGAGAAUCAAAAGACAUAAUUCCAUAAUUAUAAUAAGUUCUUUAUUGUAGAUCUCAUAGUUAAUCUUAGCUACUAAAAAUUUCCUAAAUUAAAAAGUUAUAAGAUGGAGUUUUUUAUUUGUUCUCAUUUAUAACAAUACUGCAUCCAAGGCAAAGUCUGAUGCAUCUAUUUCCAUAAAAAAUGCCUUAAAACUAAGUUUCGAUCUUCUUUGAAUCCAUCAUAAGGCCUUCAUUGGAAAUGAUGUAUCUCAAAAAAUCAACUUGAGUAAUGUAGAAUAUAUUCUUUUUCAACUUUACAUAUAAUCUUGCAACUCUUAUUUUUUGUAAUGUACAAUGAACAUGAAUUUCAUGCUCUUUUAUAUUCUUAGAAUAAAUUAAAAUAUCAUCUAAAUAAUAGACAACAAAUAUAUCAAGAAAUUCAUGAAAGACAUCAUUCAUUAAAUGUUGAAAAGUAGCUAAUACAUUUGUGAGUCCAAAAGGCAUGAUAUUAUAUUCAAAAUAUCCAUACUUAGUUUAAAAAGCAAUCUUCUAUUCGUCUCUUUCUUUAAUAUAGACCAAGUAAUAUGCUCUUUAUAGAUCUAUUUUUAUAUAAAUCUUUACUUGAUUUAAUUGAUCAAAAAGUCCUAAAAUCAAAGGCAAAGGAUAUGUAUUCGUAAUGGUGAUCUUGUUAAGUCUUUGAUAGUCCACACAUAUCUGUAGAGAUUUAUCUUUUUUCUUCACAAAUAAGAUAGGAGUUCUAAUUGGAGAUUUAGAAUGGCAUAUAAAGUUCUUAGCCAAAUUUUCAUCAAUAUAUUCUUCAAGUGCAAUCAACUCAUUUUGUGAUAGGCUAUAGAUUGGUCCAAAUAGUGUAACAUUUUCAAAAGACAAUGAACGUCCAUCUAUUACUUCUACAUACAGAGGUUUGAUUUUCUUAACUAAGGAUAUAUUUUAUUUUUUGACAAAGUCUUUAUCUAUAAAAUAGGUUGAGGCUCUUCAAUCCAACAAAGCUAAGAUUUUGUGAUUUUUUGGUCCUAAAUAAACUUCUAUUGUUAAACAAGGUGAAGGAUCUAAAAAAUAAAAAUGGCCUUUACUAGAUGUUGCACAUGAUUCCAACCACAUGAUUCCUAUAGUAACUAGAGCAACUUUUCUUCUUUGACAAUCAUGCAUAUCAUUUUGUAAUUACAUUAUUUUUUUGGAUAAUAUACCAUUCUCUUCAAUAUAAGCAAAGAUCCUCUUGACAACAUUGAGUUUUUUCUUACCAUAUAAGAGAUUUAAAACAUACCAUAUGAAUUUGCAUUGGUUCUAGCUUUAAUGAAUAAGUUUCAAAAAGCUUAGAAGUUGCCAUCAUUACUUGACUUAUUCCUCUCCAAUCGAGUCUUUGUUCUUGAUGUCUUUCAAAUAAUCUAUUGUCACAUGCAAUGACUUGAGCAAUAAAUUGUUCUAAAGAUUUUGUCUUAGGCAUUAUUAAUAACAAAAAUUUGACAUUGUCCUUUAAUCCAUACUAAAUUUAUUGAUAAGAGCUUUGUCAUUCCAAUUUAAGUUGCAAGCAAGGUUUUAGAAUUCAGCAGCAUACAUGGUGGCUAACUAUUGUUGUAUCAUGUAAUUUGCUAUCUAGGAAUACACUACGUAUCUAGAUGUAGAGAGUUUGGCUUAAACUUUUAUAUGUAUCUUGUCUUAGCUUCCAAAAACUCCUUUAUUUUGCAUAAAAUUCUAAAUAUAGCAAAAUCCCUUCAAAACAUAUUUUUUUCAUGAAGAAUUUUUUUUAUCCAUACUUUAGAAAUUUAUAACUCUUGAUCUAACUGUUCAAUUUAUUUUAAAUUUAUAAGGUAGGUAGAAUUCACCCUUCAAUUUUACCACAAAAAAACCAACCACAAAUUCAUUCUUGAUCAUUUGACACCUAAGAAAUCUUAGCAGAUACUCUAAAUCCUAAUUUACAAGCACCAAAAUACUAUUUUCUUAAUAUCUCAAGUAUCUAAUAUUUAAAUACUAUUAAAAUUAUGUACAAAGUUUAUUAAUAUGAAUUUAUACAUCUUUUGAAAUUUUGAGCCAAAAACUUGUCAAAUUACUCAAGAUACAGCUCAAGAUACAACCACUAGUAAAUCAAGUCACUUACUACCCUUAGAUUACAUGUGCUGACUUCAAAAUCUAAUAUCUCCUUCAGUAUAACUUGAAAUAGAGCAAGCAGUAUAAAAAAAGAUGUAGCUAUAAAAGUGCUCUCUCCAAUUACAAAUGCCAAUCCUCAAUUUCCUUCUCUACACGUGUAUUAGGUCAAAACGAGUGACAGUAGCUACCAAAUCAACACCUUAACUUAGAGUGCCUAUAUCUCCUACAUACAAACUCCAAAUCAUACAAAAUUUGUACCAAAACCAUAGCCAAAAAUCUAAGCUCUUUAAUCUUAGUCUUCAAAUUUCAAAUGGCUCCAAAAAACUAACCCUAAUCCCUAAUAUGGCCUCAAACAACCUCCUUGAAGCCUAUUGAUCAUGAUUUUCGACCAAUAGGAAUAGAGAUUUUCAUCAUCCAUCUCCAUUCAUCUAUAUAGAUGCCCUAAAUUCUCUUUUUAUUACCAAAAUCCUUCUCAAACUCUUUUCUUUAUAAGAUUUACUCAAUAUAUGUCCUAAACACCAAAUUAAAGAACCAAAAUGAGACUUCAAGCAUCACCAAUGUUUAAUAAAGGUGAUUCUAAAUAUUUAAAAUUACUACCAAAAAAAUCAAUCUCAAAAGCCAUUAUCAAAAAAAAAUAAAGUUAUACAAAUUCUAAUAGUAAUCUUUUUAAAAAACUUCUUUUUAAAGUAGUAAUUUAACCACAUUCUACAACCUAUCAAAAUCUGGUAAUAUGGCUUUUAUCAUAUUACUAAGCAAAUUGUAUAUUAAAUACAUAAUCACAUUAUUAUCACAUGGUAGCCAAACCACAAUACAAUACCGUGAUCCUUAUCAUAAAGAUAAGAAUUUGAUUUCUACUACUCUUUUUUGAUCACUUUCUCCAAAUGUGGCCAUAAAUACUUUUAAAAAUAAAUUCAAAUCAUUAAGAAGUCACGAAUCACUUUCCAUCAAAGGUACAAAUUAAGAGAUAGUACUUCUAGAUAGAAGUGAACCUACAAGCCCAACUUGAGCAAAUCCAUCAGGAUAUUUGAAGAGGUGCAACCUUAGAUAGAGCUUAACUUAUUGCAGAAAUCUUUGAAAUUUUGAUCUUAUUCUAUUAAACUUCUUUGGCAUACUAAUCUUGGUUCCCAUUGUACUUAUAGAACUAAAACUUCUUGGAUUUAGUUGAGAAGUUGAUCUAAUUACUUCUUUCAAUUAUACAACUUCUUAAUGUAGAUUUUGAACUUCUUCUAUAGGCUUAGGAAUAAUACCUCCAUGAUUCAUGUUGGAAAUAUAUGAGAUCUCUAUUCUUUGAGUAUUGAUAAGGUUAUGAAGAUCUAUAGUAAUUACAAAUCUAUUCUCACUUUUGUUGUCAAUAGCAUCCAUAAUCUUUUUUUAUUAUAGAUAAUUCAAAAAAAAAAUUAAAAAAUUAAAUUAGAAGAGGAUAAUCUGCAACCUCUAAUGUCAAAUAAAAAUUUCCAUGAAGAAGGUUAAUCCACUCUCUUUUAAGGAAAAAAUCAAUGUUAAAAAAUAAGAUUGUUCUUUUAAAGGUGGAUAAUAUGCAACCUUUGAAAAUUCAAUAAUAUAAGUGGGAUAAUCCACUCACUUCUAAAUCAAGACAAAAACAGUAAAUUAACACUCUUGUUAAACUGUCAAAGAAAUAAAUCUUGAAAAAAGAAAAUCCUCCAUACACUCUUGUACUACUAAAAUGAAUUAGAUAGUCAUUCAAAGAUGAUAUAUUAUUAAAAUAGAAUGGCUAUGGCUAAAAAUAAAAAGGCUAUAAAAUCUUAAAAAAACAUUAAGUCCUAGAAAGGCAUUCAUAAGAUGUCAAGGAUAUGAAUCUCGAAGAAAGAGAAUCCUCAAUACACUCUUCUAUCAUUGAAGAGAACUAGAAAGCCACUCAAAAGGUGGUGUAAUAUUAACUAGAAUGGCUAUUGCUAAAAAUAAGAAGACUACAAAGACUUGAAACAAGACUAAGACUAGAAAUGCAUUGACAAGAAUGAAGAAGGCUUCACUCUUGCCUCCAUAUAUACUAUCUAACAAAGAGCUACGUCGCAAUGUCUUAUGGGACUUCCGACAUGUGUUGACUUUGUUAGCAACAUGUCUUAUCUUGCAAGGCAAAUUAUUUAUAUAUGCACCAAGUAGUUGAUUUCUUCCAUAAGCUACUAAUACAUGGUUAGCUUUUUGGCCAAGUUUCUAACCUACAAAUACAUCUAAAGUCAAAACUGCAUCUAUGAAGCUUCUAAGAAGCUUCUCUAGAAGACUUUAUGAAAUUAUUCUAUAUCUAUUUACUUCUAUUCUUUACUCUCUUUGAAGAUGGUUGAUAGGUCCUCUCAACCAUGUAUAAUGUCUCAUAUCAAGGCGAGAAGACCACCCUGUUAUUUGAUCAUUGUUGAGGCCUUCGUAACUUCCUUCAAAUAAAACAUUUGAAACACUGUUAGAAAUUAUUCCUACUUUUAAUAAAAUCACUAAACAUCGGGAGUCUCUUCGAAGGUCGUGAUACCAAACACGUUGUAUUUUGCCAUCUAUUCAAGGAAGGACAUGUUUUUCUUAGGGAUCUUCAUCUCGAUUCCGUUGUCUUGAAAGUUGUGACAAUUAUAUUGUCUCAUUUGGUAAGUCCGCAAAUGAAAGCUCUUGAAUUGAAUAUGUUGGUUAUUGGUGUUCCAUCUCAUCAUACAUACACAGAAGCUAUAAUAAAAGAUAGAAGGUAGAAUGUUAUUUUUCUUUGAUCUUGUUUCUUUUAUAACAGAGGUUUGCUAUUCUUCAUCUUAAUUUUGAUAGAUAUUAUUGAUGAAAGACUUCAACUUUUUUUGCUAUAUUUAGAAGAUUCUUUGAUGGCUCCCAUGUGCAUUCACUAAUGUCAUAUCCACACCAAUGAAUAAGAUAUUUCAACCUAUUUCGAUGCCACCUUCAGUCUAAGACUUCUUCUACCUCAAAUUCUUGAUUAUUAUCCACUUAUAUAUAAGGAAGUGGCAUUUUUCUUCUUCUCAAGAUAUUCAUUGCCUUAUAUGGCUCUAGACGAGAUAUGCAAAAUAUAGGGUGGAUCUUCAUCGACUCCAGUAGAUGUAAUCGAUAGGCAAUAUGAUUGAUUUAUUCACAAAUAGGAAAAGGUCACAGCCUAUGAUAAUCUAAUUUAUCACAAGGAGAACUAGUCUUGAUAUUAUGACGAAGUAACCAUACCUUGUCAUCCAUAUUAUAUUGUGGUUGCUUCUUACGAUAGGCAUCUACAUUGGUCUUUUGUCAUUCUUGAGCUUCCUUUAAUUGUAUCUUCAUUGUUGUUUGUAGCUUUGACAAGCGAUUUACUAAAUCUUCCAUUGUAGGAUUAUCAACUUUUGAAAAGUCAAAAGUAUCAAGACGUGGAUGAUAACCAUAAUUGGUAAAGAAGAAGUUUGUUGAGUAGAAGAAUGCAUCGAAUUAUUAUAUGCAAACUCUGCCAAUGGUAAAAGAAUUGUCUAAUCAUCUUGAUGAUAGUUGAUGGUACAUUUCAAAUAUUACUCUAGAACUUAAUUUAUCUGUUCCGUUUGUCCAUCAGUUUGAAGAUGUAAAGCUGAAGAAAGCUUUAUAUUCACCUUUAGAAUCUUGAAUAGGAUUUUUUAAAAUCUUAAUACAAAUUGAGUCCCCCUAUUUGAUAUAAUAUCUUUUGGUAAUCCAUGAUAGCAAUAGAUAUUGUCAAUGAAAAGCUUACAUUUUUUUUACUUGUGAUAGAUUUUGUACAUGAUAUAAAAUGUGCCAUCUUGGUAAAAUGAUCUACUAUCACAAAUAUGGAAUCAUAAGAACUUGAGAUUGAAAGAUCUGUGAUGAAAUUCAUAGAAAUACAAGACCAUGGUUGUUUUGGAAUGGGUAACGGCUGAAGAAGUUUGUAAGAUCGAUGACAAGGAGUUUUUGAUCUUAAGCUAACAUCACAAGAUUGUACAAAAUCUACAACAGACUUCCACAUUUGCAGCCACCAAAAAUCCCUAGAUAUUAGUUUUAAAGUUUUAUUGUAUCCAAAAUGUCCUACUGUUGGAAAGUCAUGGCAAGCUUAAAGAAUACAUAAUCAAGCUUCAUCUUCUAGAACAAAUAAUCGUCCUUCAAAAUAUAAUAGAUUAUUUUUGAAUUCAAACUUUGAAGUAUCAUGGGACUUAAAGGAAGUAUUUUUGAUAUCAUGAAUAAGAGGAUUAAAGGACAUGAUUGAUUGAAAUUGCUUCACAAAUAUUGAAUCAAUAGUCAAUGUUGAUUUUAUAGCUCGAAGAUGAAAUUACUAGGGCUUUAAGAGAUUUGAUCUUUAUUGAUCAAAAGAUGCAUCUUCUUCUUUUAGUGUAAGAUAAGAACAUCUAGAAAGAGUGUCCAAUAGACCUUAUUAUUUUUCGGUUAAAUAGGUGAUCUUAAAAUUGGAUCUAUAUAAAGACAUGCUCCAACGGUGUCAUAUUACAUGCUAUCUUGCUUGAGAAUGCAUCAAGUAUCUAACUAUGGAAGAUAAAACAAUGUUUUGCAAGUAUUCAGGUAGGCUAGUGGAUUUCAACCACCUAAAUAUAAUUAUUUCAGAUUUCAAUGUAAAAGCUUAAUCCAUUAUAAAAUACUUAGAAAUAAUAUUUUUAAUAACUUCAAGAAAUUAUAAGCACAAGUCUUUUGUUAUUUAUUAGUUUUAUUUUUUUAUUUUUUAUUUUUUAUUUUUUUUAUUUUUAAUUCUAACCCUGGACAGCGAGCUUCGGCAAGCUGUAAUUUUCAAUAUGACUGUCCGAUGGUUAUAAACUUCUACCACUAGUGUCUUUAUAAGCCUUCUAAAUGCUCAAGAAGUUUCAAUCUAAUCUAACUUACAUGUUGUAAGAAAAUGCCAUUAAUCUACACUGAUGUAUCUUGGCCGUCGCUUAAAAGUCCUCGACUUAUCACGCCAAAAGUCACCUUAUUCCAGCUGAUAGAUCUCCAGUAACUAUAGAAAUCCUAAACAACCCCAAUCUGCCAACUUCCAAUAUCUCUUUAUACUAAUGGUCAAAUAUCCUCUAUCUAUUUUGUGAGAUAAAUACAACUUUUGCAUGCACUCAGCAUACUCAACUCUUUAGAUAUCUCUAAAUUUCAACCGCAGAAGUUUUUCUAAUUUUACAAAAAAAUCAAGAGUACUAGCCGUUACUUUAUUGUAAAAAAAACCCAAUUCACCAAUACAAACACUGACUUCCAACAACGAUUGCCAAAGUCCUCCCAAAUCCUAUGAACCCAAAUCUACACCUUUCGAAGGAGCUUGAAGCUAGCUCUCCGAUCCCAAAAUCUUGAUCUCCGAAUGCCCCUUUCCUUAUCCUUUCUUCUCUUUUAACUCUGUGUGGUCCCCUUUUCUCCCGCCUUGGACUCCGAAUUAGAACAGCCGAUGGUGCUUCCCCGGAGUCAAGUCUCAUAUUGGGUAAGAGAUCCAUACAAAGACUUAGAUUGGAUGUCCCCAUAAUUGGAUCAAAUUAGCCCUUUACAUCAGACUCACGCGUAUAUUGAAUUGGUCCUUUUUUUUUUUGUAGAUUCCUUGUAAGAAUGGCUCGGACUCAUUCCACUCGAUUUACUAGAGAAUCUUGAAGACCUUGAUUUAUCUCCUCAAUUUUUCCUUGGAUUUGGAUUUGCUGAUCCUAUUUAUUGAAAUUGGAUGGAGCAUUAUAUUGCUAAUAAGUAUACCUCGUCUGCUUACAAUUUCUACACACUGGCUUUGGGAUUGGAACAUUCACUGGCAUAAUGACCAACCUGGUUUACAACAAAAAUGAAAAAGUGGUCUUCCUACACCUCCAUCACGCAUAUUGGGUAUCUCCACCAGUAUAUACCUACUAGGCUUGUUCCAUGUAGGGUUGGAAAAUGAUCCUAGUUGUUCCAUUGGUACAGAGGGUACUUGGUUUGAUGACAUCGGUGGAGUGACAUUAACUGACCCUGAAUAUUGGCACUCGAAUUGGCCACUAUUUCUAACUUCCAAGAUGACUAAAUAUUAAUAAUAUCUUUUUUAUUUAUAUUUUUACCAUAUAGUCAUGUUACAAUAUGACAUCCAUCCUCUUUGAACCUGUGCAUCCUCUAGUAUGCACCAAAUAACCAAGUUUUUGUUUGAUUCAUAAUACAUUCUCCAAGUCUUUGUCCAAGUCCUCUUCAUCAUUUUUGCUAUCCAUGUCAAAUUCAUCUUCUUGUUGAGGAAUAUCUAUAUCUUCACCAAGGUCUUUUAUAUUUAUUUCUGUGUAUCUUUAUUUAAAUAUUUUUACUCACUUCUCUGUAAUUGGUAUUUUUAACUUUGUUCCAUCUAACUCCCGCAAUGAGUAAGUUAUAUUAUCAUGAACAAUUGUUACCACAUACGGUCCAAACCAUCAUUUAGAAAACUUCCUUAAAGCACUAUGUUGAUUGUCCAAGCUACUAUUAUAGACCAAAACUCAAUCACCUUCUUCAAUUGCUUUAGGCCUCAAUCGAUGCUGCUUAUCAAAUCGUGUCUUGUUUUGUAACCUCGCUCUUUUUAACCUUCCUAAUGCUAUUUACACAUCUUUCAAUCUUUACUCUAAUUGUUGAAUUCUAAUAGCUAGAAGUUCUUCUCUUGUCAAUCCAUCUUUUCAUGGUAGUACAGUCCGAAUAGGUACUUUUUUUUCAAUUGGCAUAAUUGAUUUUUGGCCUGUUAUAAGCUCAAUAGGCAUAUAUCUCGUUACUGAGCUAUGAGUUGUUCGAUCAGCCCAUAAUGCAAAUGACAAAAGUUGCGGCCAUUCUCUAACCUUUCCAUUACAAGCUUUAACUAAUGCUUUCACAAUCAAUAAGUGACCACGUUCACUUUUUGUAUUUCCUUCAGGAUUAUAAGUAGUAGUUAGUGAUAGUUUAAUACCACAUCUUUCAAAGAAUUCACAAGCUUCUUGUGCAUUUAAUUCUUCAUGAUCUCCAGUGAUUUUUCCUACACAUCCAUAGUGGCAAAUAACAUCUUCAAGAAAAAAUCUACAAAUUCCUUCCAUAAUUUUUGUUCUCAAUGCUCUUUCUUAAACUUGAUUUGAUAAAUCUUCAUGAGCUAAGAGCAAAUAUCUCAUUUGCCAUAACUUAAUUGGCAUAAUAACCAAAUCAACAACCUACUUAAAAUGAAUAGCUAGAGGAUAUGUAGGAUGAAGACCAUCUCAAUGUCGUAUAUUAGAAUAUGCUUGAUAAAUUUCACAUGAUUCUACAAAUAAGAGCACAUCUCAAUACAUAUUUCUCUACCAAUAUCGUUCUUUAAGUUUAGCAAAAGUAGUCCAAAUUCCUCUAUGUCUUGCCUAUAAACUAUCAUGAAACCCCUUCAGUAAUUUUUGUUUCUCUUUCUUAUUACUUAUCACUCUUUGUGGCAUUCCAAUUCGUUUUUUUGGUCUCUUCCAUAAGAAUCCUUCUUGAAACAAAAAUCCAUAUGCUUUUUUUCUCAUUUAUUUAAAUUUUUCUAUAGAUCAAUUUUCUUUUUUAGUCAAGAUAUUUAAGUAAUGACUAAUAUCCAAUAAUUCUCCUUCAUAGAAUUCUUCAAGAAAUAGCUUAUUUUCUUUGUUAAGAUUUGAUACUGAAUCGAAUUUUGAUCCAACAUCAUCAAUGUCUUCAACCAUUUUAUCUUUUCUUUCAUAUCUUGCUCUAAAUAGCAUGUCUGCUAUUAAAUUGUCUUUUUCAGCAACAUGCUUAAAUUUCAGAUUUAAUGACUUAAUAUAAGCAAUCCAUCUUAGCAUUGUAAUAUCUGGCAUUGAACAAUUAGUAAUCAUUCCAAGCAAUGGUAAGCAAUCCGUUUCAAUUACUAGUGUUGCACCAAUCAAAUAAUCCCUUUCAACUUUCAUAGCCGAAACAACUCCCAAAGUUCUCUUUUGACUUGCAAAUAUGCAUGUUGAUGAGUACUUAAAACUUUAGCUCUAAAUCAAACUACAAAUCUAUUUCUACUUGAAUCAUCUUGAUCCACAAUCCAUCCAAUAGCAAUAGGACUAGUAUCCACAGUAAGAAUUACUUGUCUAUUACAGUCAUAAUCAAUUUUUCUUAAAAUUGGAUGUGUCACCAAUAACACCUUUAGCUUCUACAUUGCUUUCGUAUGCUUUUUUUUCCAUUUAAAUUGAUAACCCUUACAUAAUAAUUCAUACAAUGGAUUUGCUAUAUGAGCAUAAUGAGGAAUCCAUAUACAAUAAAAUACACAAGCUCCUAAAAAUCUGCGUACUUUUGUUAAAGAGUCACAUGAAUCCUUCAUCCUUCUAAUUGCAUCAACUUUGCUUGGAUCUGGCUUUCUCAUAUAAAAUCCACACAAAUAUCCAACAAUAAGAACUUCUUGUACUCCAAAUAUAGAUUUUGCUCCUGAAAGUGUAAGAUGAACCUCUUCAAGUCGAGUUAAAAUCUUUUUACAAUCUUGUAUAUGAUCAACAACAUACUUGCGACACCUUCUUUCAUCUAAAGUUUCAUCUUUUUUUCCUUCUUUACAUCCUUUGAUAGGAACAUCAUCUAAAAAUAGCAUAGUUUUUUCAAGAAUGAAAACUCUUAAUACCUUGUUCAUCUCAAUCAUCAUAUGUGCAACUGAGUUAGUAUCACCCUGAGGAAGAGUACACAUUUUAAGUAAUCUAAGUAGUAUUCUCAUUGUUAUUAGAUCUCUACUCCCAUGCAUAAGUUGAAAUUAUUCAUAACCCGAAUAUAAAUCACCCAUUGAAUAAAUUUCCCUUCCCGCAAACGCUUCUGCAAACUCGUCUACUAAAUAUCUUAUACCUGCAUUUCUUAUAGUUACUACAUUUAUUGGCUGCAUAUCUUGAAUAAAAUAUAACGAUCUAUUUUUCUUAGGCACCGUAAACCAACGACUAGAAUAUGGAGCAAAAGAAGGCUCCAAAAUUUUAAUUUGCAUCUUUUCUUUCAAUAAUUCUACCAAUUUAGAUAAAUGUGCUUUUGGCAUGGAAAUUAGCCUUAAAUUCUAAGGUACAUGAGAUAAUGUAAAGAUAACCAUAGGAGCAACAAUAUUAGGAUCUACACAUCUUAUUUCACGAGAUCCAAAGGCAAAUGAUUUACCUCAUUUUGCAAGCAUUUUUUUAAAAUAUUCAAUUUCUGUUGGAAAUAAAGAACCAUCACAUCUAAUCUUCAAUUCUUCAAAAGUCUCCUUUGUAAAUUGAUGUCCAAUCUCCUUUAGAUCUCUUAAACUCUCUUCUUUUGAUGCUUCUUCUAUUUAUUCCUUAGAAUCUUCUAAUAAAGGUUCAACAACAUGUUUCACAUUUUUAUCUAUUGUUUUAUAUUUUGUCUUUACAACAACCUCUAGUACUUGCAAAGACUCAAGUGUAGAAUAAACCUCCCUUGAAUGAAUUUCCACAAUCUUAUCAUUAUCCUCUAAUCCAAUAGAUGUAAUUAAUUCUAAAGAAUCCUCCAAUCUAUUUUCUUCAUAAAUACCUAAAAUCUUCUCAUCAUCUUCUAAUGUUCCUAACUUACAUAAUUCCUUUUCAAUACUAUAUAAUCUUUUUCUUUCUUUUCUUUUAAAAUCAUCAACUUUCUUAUACAUAAUAUUUCCAUUCUCAAAAAUAUCAAUAAAACUCACAUCAAAGGUACCUUCAUCUUGUGAGAGUACCUCCUCUUUUGUAACUCGAUAAUCCCACUUUAUAGUGGUACUUCUCCAAAAUCCAUAAAUCCUUUAAUAAUCCUUGACAAUGGUUUCUCUCUCAACCUAUCUCGAUUCCGUUCAUGAUUAGGAGGUACUAUUAGAAACUGUACAGCUUUUCUUCCAUCUUUACUACGUAUCUUUGCAUAAGCAGAACCAUCAUCUAGUACUUUUGUUUCCAUCCGUAUUGCCAUAAUAUAAGGUUGUCCUAAAAUCAAUGGAUAAGACGUUGUAUCUUGAACAAAGAAAUGUUGUUCUAUCGCAACAUCUCCAAUCCAAAUUUUGACAUCUGGACAAGCUCCAUAUAAUUCGCCUCGCAUGUUAUUAGCUACUCGUAUUGCCCAUCUAUGUUCCAUAUCAAUUGGUCAUUUUUGCUUCUUUUAAAGUUCCUUAGACAUAAGAUUUAUUACAGAACCAUAGUUAACUAAAGCAACAAUUGAUUCUUCUAUAUUUCCUACUUUCACCAAUACUUUAGUAGUUGCCUUUGCCUAAUAUUUCCGAGUAUAAUGGCUUGAAGCUUCUAUUUCCUUAUCACUAUAAUCUUUAAAAUGUACUCGUUGAUUGUAUCCAUUCUUUUCGUUUGUUGAUUGCUUAUAACCAUUAUCAUCCUCUUCUUCAUCUUUAUAUAAUCCUGCAUCAAUAGCAUGACUCAUUCCAGCUUUAUCCAUUAAUUACCUCUUUUGUUUAAUGUUGUUAAUGAUAACAUCAUGAAACUCCUUCUUUGCAAUUCCCAAAAUUUCUUUUAAUGUGAAUUCCACCUUAACAUUUAAUAUACGUUCUUCCAGUACCCUUCUAAAAUUUGUUGCUGCUUCAAUAUCAGAAAGUAGCUUAUAAGCAAUUGAUUUAUCCUUAUCUUUUGUCUCCUUUGUUUUUUCUUCCAAUGAUGUUGAAGUAUCUUUUAUAGGCAAUUCUUGUGAAACCACCUCACAAGCCUUGUUUCUUCGAGUUUGCCUCUUAGAAGAAUUUCCCUCUCUUAUAUCAUCAAAAUUUCUUCGUCUCUUUUCUUCCAUCAAAGCUUCAUAUUGGCUCUUAGCAAUAUAUGCAUGAACUAAAAGAGACUCACUAGGAUCUUUCCAACUUGUUGCACCUCAUAUUUCAGUUGUAAUCCUCAAUAACGCUUCCCGAGGUAUUUUUUCUUUUUGCAUUGUAGAAAUGGUAGAAGCCCAAAAUUCACUAGUUUCUAUACUUCUGCCAAAGUCAUCAUCUACUCUAGCACCAUAACUUGCAUUCUCUCGUGUUGCUAUUCCAUGUUCUAUUAAGUAAUCUUAAACCAAUGCUCUAAUACCUCUUUUGCCAAAAUUUUUUUGAAGGAGAUCCUCUGUAUCCUUUAAUGUAAUCUUUCCAUCUUUCUAGUAAAUAACUCCUUGCUGUAUUAUAUUAUUAAAUUCAUUGCAAUCCUUCCUAGUAUAUGAAGCCUCAUCACACCAGAUACAUCUUUGUAUAUACCCUUGUUUUGAAACAUUCUUCAAAUUGUUUGUAGAAGUAUUUUUCUUCAAGUCUUGUCAAUUUGAUUUGAAGAUCUCGCAUUCCACGUAUAAUUUCAUCAAUCCCCAUCUCUCCUUUUUUUGAUAAAGAUAUUAAAGGUUGAACAGUAGACAUUUUUGGUCAUAUUGUAUGUAUUGGAAUUUUAGGUGCUUGUACUGCUUUUGGAAUAUUACUCCUAUCCUUCCUCCUUUCUCUUUUUGCAAGAAAAUCCACCAUAUUUUCAACAUUUUUUCACUUUGUUGUCAAUCUUUCAUCUUCUUCUUUGUCUUCAAGAAGCAAUUCCAAUUUCUCUUGUAGUUCUCCAUCAGCAGCUUGAAGAAAUAAUUCAACCUUAUUCGGCUCUAAUGUCAAUUUUUCUACCUUCGAUAAUUAAGAAUAUUACCUCUCAAAUUUCCUUAGUAGCUCUGUUGCUUGCAAAUUCUUAUUAGCUCGCUCAAUCCAUUUUAGAAAUAGUUUCUUAGUAAUACAAUCAGUGUCUUUCAAGAAAUAUUCAUCUUUUAAUGUAUGUAAAAAAAUCUCCCAUGAAUUUCCAUAAUACUCCAUAAAUGAGGUAAUAUGUUCUCUUAUCUCCAGUAUCAUGGCUAGUCCAAAUAAUUCAACCAUCUUCUUUUCAAAAAUAUGAUUUAAUUCUAUUUUCCAAAUAUAACAUCUUAAAUACUUUGAAAUAUCCCUUCUAUCAAACUAGUCAAUUUUAUUGACUACUGCUUACAAAGCUUUGGUUGCUGAAGCUUCUUUGCGAUCAUUGCUUUGCUGUUGCUGCAUAGAUAAUGAUAAGGCUUGAAACAUACUAGCAAUGGAUGGAUCCAUGUACAUACCUUGUCCUUUAGAAGAAACUCUACCAGAAGCUCGACUUAAAGCUCCUUCCAAAGAUCCUUCAAAAUUUUUAUUCUCAUUCUCUAUAAAAUAAAACAAAAAUAAAUAAAAUCCAAUACCUUCUACCUCAAGCUUUCACGUCCGAUUCACCACUAAUAUCAUAUUACGUGCUAUCUUGCUUGAAAGUACAUCAGGCGUCCGGCUGUGGAAGAUAAAAUAAUAUUUUAUAAGUAUUCAGGUAGGCUAGUGGAUUUCAAUCAUCUAAAUAUAAUUAUUUCAGAUUUCAAUGUAAAAGCUUAAUCCAUUACAAAAUACUUAGAAAUAUUAUUUUUAAUAACUUCAAGAAAUUAUAAGCACAAGUCUUUUGUUAUUUAUUAGUUUUAUUUUUUUAUUUUUUAUUUUUUAUUUUUUAUUUUUUAUUUUUUUUAUUUUUAUUUUUAACCCUAAUCCUAGACAGCGAGCUUCGGCAAGCUGUAAUUCUCAAUAUGACUGUCCGAUGGUUAUAAACUUCUACCACUAGUGUCUUUAUAAGCCUUCUAAAUGCUCAAGAAGUUUCAAUCCAAUCUAACUUACAGGUUGUAAGAAAAUGUUGUCAUGUUGUGGUUCAGCUACUAUAUGAAAAUAAUGUACUUAUGUACUUAAUAUAUAAUUUAUUAAUUAACAUGGUGAAAGCCAUGUUAGUAGAUUUUAGUUGAUUUUAGAAUAUAAUUUGAUUAUUACUUUGAGAAGAGGUUGUUUAAAAAGAUUACUAUAGAAUUUGUAUAACUUCAAUUUCUUUUUGAUAGUGGCUUUUAAGAUUGGUUUUGAUUGAUAGUAACUUCUAAAUAUUUAGAAUCACCUUUGUUAGACAUUGGUGACAUUUGAAAACUUCUUUUGGUUCUUUUAUUUGGUGUUUAGAGCAUAAAUUAUGUAAAUCUUAUAAGAAAAACGAUUGAAGAAGGAUUUUGGUAGCAAAGGGAGUAAUUAGGGCACCAAUUUAAAUGAAUGGAGAUGAAAAAUAAAAAUCUCCAUUCCUAUUUGCCAAAAAUCAUGACCAAUGGGCUUUGAGGAGGCUGCCCAAGGCCAUAUUAGGGAUUAGGGUUAGUUUCUCGAGAGCAUUCGAGCAUUGAAGGCUAAGGUCAAAAGUUUUAGAUUUUUGGUUAAGGUUUUGGUGCAAGUUUUGUGUCAUUUGGGGUUUUUAUGAAGAAGUUAUAGGCGCUCAAAGUUAAGGUGUUAGUUUUGGAUCUACUGUCACUCUUUUGGGCAUAACGCACGCAUACGGAUGGCAAUUGAGGAUCGGUGACCUCGACUGGAGAGAGCACUUUUGCGGCUAUACUUUUCACAUACUGCUUACUGGAUUCUAAGUUGGGAUAAAGGAGUUAUUGGAUUUUGAAGUCAGCACAUGCAAUCUAAGGGUAGUAAGUAAACCGAUUUACUAGUGUUUGUCUCUUGAGCUAUAUCUUGAGCAAUUUGACAAGGUUUUGGCUCAAAAUUUCAAGGAAUGUGUAAUUUCAUAUUAAUAAACUUCAUGCAUAAGUUUUAUGACAUUUGGAGUUCUUUUUUUUGAGAUAUAAGGAAAAUAGUUUUUCGGGUGCUUGUAAAUUAGGGUUUGGAGUGUGUGCUAGGAUUUCUUAGAUUCCAAAAGAUCGGGAGUGAAUUUGUAGUUGGUUUUUUUUGUGGUAAAAUUUAAGGAUAAAUUAAAUCUAUCUUGUAAAUUUGAAACAAACUGAACGGUUAGAUCAAUAGUUAUGAUUUUCUAAAGUUCGGGGUGAAAAAACCCUUCGUGGGAAAAAUAUGUUUUGAAGGGAUUUCGUUAUAUUUGGAGUUUUAUACAAAAAUAAAGGAGUUUUGGAAGCUAAGAAAAGAAUCAUAUAAAGGUUUAAGGUACACUCUCUAUAGCUAGAUACCCAGUGUAUUCCCAGAUAGCAAAUCACGCCAUACGACAAUGUUGUUAAUCUACACUGAUGUAUCUUGGCCGCCGCUUAAAAGUCCUCGACUUACCAUGCCAAAAGUCACCUUAUUCCAGCCGAUAGAUCUCCAGUAACUAUAGAAAUCCUAAACAACCCUAAUCUGCUAACUUUCGAUACUUCUUUACACUAAUGGUCAAAUAUCCUCUAUUUAUUUCGUCAGAUUAAUACAACUUUUGCAUGCACUCGGCAUACUCAACUCUCUAGAUACCUCUAAAUUUCAACCGCAGAAGUUUUUCUAAUUUCACAAAACAGUCAAAAGUACUAGCCGUUAUUUUAUUGCAAAAAAAAUCCAAUUCACCAAUACAAACACUAACUUCCAACAACGAUUGCCAAAGUCCUCCCAAAUCCUAUGAACCCAAAUCUAUACCUUUCGAAGGAGCUUGAAGCUAGCUCUCCAAUCCCAAAAUCCUGAUCUCCGAAUGCCCCUUUCCUUAUCUUUUCCUCUUUUAAUUCUGUGUGGUCUCCUUUUUUUUCACCUUGGACUCGAAAUUAGAACAGCCAAUGGCGCUUCCCCGAAAUUCUUGUCUCUAAGAGGAUCUUUUCACAAAAGGACAUUUCUCCCAAAACAGCAUAGAGAACGAAACAGAUUGAAAUAGAUCCAAAGCCUCCAUAUUUGGGACCUCAUUGGAUUGUUCAACCAAGUCAGGUCUCAUACUGAGUAAGAGGCCCAUAGAAGGAUCUGGAUUGGAUGUCUCUAUAAUUGGGUCAAAUUGGCCCUUUACAUCAAAUUUAUCUGAAUAUUAAAUUAGUCCUUUUCUCUUUUACCGACUUCUGGUAAGAAUGGCUGUGACUCAUUCCACCUGAUUUAUCGGAGAAUCUUGAGGACCUUGAUUUAUCUCUUCAAUUUUUCCUUGGCUUUGGAUCUGCUGAUCUUGUUUAUUGAAAUUAGAUGCAACAUUACAUUGUUGAUAAGUAUGCCUCAUCUGCUUACAAUUCCUAUACACUAGCUUUGAAAUUGGAACAUUCAUUGAUAUAAUGACCAACAUGGUCUUCAACGAAAAUGACAAAGUGGUCUUCUUGUACCCCUAUCAUGCAUAUUGGGUGUCUCCCCUAGUAUAUACUGUAGAAUAGAUAUUAGUUCAUUUUUGUAAGAUAUUGAUAAAAAUAGAUUAAUAGUCUAUAGAAUAGUCAAUUCAGGAGGACGGAUGGUUGAUUUAAUUAUUAAAAGUGGUUAAUUAUAAGAUUACGGUUAGGAUCUGGAAAUCAGUUGCAAUUAUAUAGGAGUUGUAGAAGUUUGUUGGGGGGCUAGACUGUGAUAGUCAUGAGCCAGGAUUAAGCUUGGUGCUUCUUCUUUAUUUUUUUUGUUUUCUUUGUUAUUGAAGAAUAAUGGAUAGUUUCUAAAUAUUGAGAAGUGAGUCUGUAGAAUAAAUCAGAGAUUGAUUUAUGAAUUAUUGAUUAUGUAAUUGGAGUAUUAUGUGAUUGAAUUAUAUGAGAAGUUAUUGGAAGAUUGAUUAUGGAUAGAAGAUUAUGAUUGUUGUUUAUUGAGAGUUGUGUGUCUUUCGAUAGAGGAAGUCUAUGAUUACAGGAUUUCUAUGAAUUGAGAUUGCUUGGAGUGAAGUCUAUUAUUCUUGGUAUUGGAUGGAAUUUAUGAGUUUUAAGCAGUCUUUUAAGAGUGCAGGAUUGCACACUAUUGUUAUUAGUUGAUGAAGGAGUAUUGUUACUAAGAAGAAGCAUUGUAGUAUUUCUUAGUAUUUUAAUGAUUUAGAAUACAAUUAAUUGUGUGACCCUUACAAGUGAAACUCAUGUGCUUAGUCUUUCCCUGUGUUUGAAUUUUCCUAUACAUGUUUAUUAUAAAAGAAUUUAUAGAAUAAAUAAAACGAAAAUCACAUAUACCUACUAGGCUUAUUCCAUGUAGGGUUGGAAAAUGAUCCUGGUUGUCCUGUUGGUAUAGAGGGUACUUGGUUCGAUGAUGUUGGUGGGAUGACAUUAACUGACCCUGAAUAUUGGCACUGGAAUUGGCCACUAUUUCUAACAUCCAAGAUGAUUAAAUAUUAAUAAUAUCUUUUCCAUUUAUAUUUUCACCAUAUAGUCAUGUUACAACAUGACAACGAGCUUGACGACAAUUCAAGACAUGUGCUGACAUGAAAUACUUGAGGUUCUCAUGGUCUAUAUACUCGAUAACUCGAUUUGAGGUGCCUUCUAAAUAAUGACGCCAUUCUUGAAAUGAAUCCAUGAUUAUAAGGAGCUCUUUGUCAUAGAUCUCAUAAUUAAUCUCGGUUGUUGAAAAUUUCCUUGAAUGGAAAGCUAUUGAGUAGAGUUUGUGAUUUGUUCCCAUUUAUGACAAUGCGGCACCUAUAGUAAAAUCAGACGCAUCUGUUUUCAUAAAAAAAUAUCUUGAAAUCAAUGCAAUAUAAGAUUGGUGUAAAAAUAAACUUCUUCUUUAAAGCAUUAAAUGAUGCUUCUACUUCUUUAUUCCACUCAAGUUUGUCUUUACAAGUCAAAUGUAAAAAUAGAGCUACAGCUUGAGAAAAAUUCUUGAUGAAGAUUCAAUAGUAAUGAGCAAAGCCCAAAAAAUAUUGCACAUCUCAUACUAUUCUUGGAAUCUUCUAAUCUAUGAUAGUUUGAACCUUCUUGGAAUCCAUCAUAAGGCCUUUGUUAGAAAUGAUGUACUCUAAAAAAUCAUCUUGAGUAGUGUGGAAUACACACUUUUCUAACUUAGCAUAUAAUCCUACAUCUCUAAGUUUUUAUAACAUGCAAAAAAUAUGAAGCUCAUAUUCUUUGAUGUUCUUAUAAUAGAUUAGAAUAUUAUCUAAAUAGCAACCAAUAAAAUCAUCUAAAAACUCACAAAAAACAUCAUUCAUAAGAUAUUGAAAAGCAGCCGAUGCAUUUGUGAGUCCAAAAGGCAUGACAUUAUAUUCAAAAUAUCCAUACCUAGUUUGAAAAGCACUUUUCCAUUCAUCUACUUCUUUGAUACAAACUAAGUUAUAUGCUCCUCAUAGAUCUAUUUUGAUAUAGAUCUUUGCUUGAUUGAGUUGAUUAAAAAGUUCUGAAAUCAAAGGCAAAGGAUACCUAUUUUUCAUGGUGAUCUUGUUGAAUCCUUGAUAAUCCACACACAUUCAUAGAGAUCUAUCUUUCUUCUUCAAAAAUAAGAUAGGAGCCCUAGCUAGAGAUUUAGAAUGGCAUAUGAAGUUCUUUGCCAAAUUCUCAUCAAUACACUCUUUUAAUGCAGCCAACUUAUUCUGCAAUAAGCUAUAGAUUGGUUCGAAUGGUAGUUGAGCUCCUUCUUGCAAAUCAAUUGAACAAUCAUGAGGUCAAUGCUCGAAAAAAAUAUCUACAUUUUUUAAAAAAAAAACAUCUAGAAAUUCUUGAUAUUAGUUAGGAAUACCACUCGACAUUGUUUCACAAUUAGAAAUGGAUAUAGCAUAUAUAGCAAAAGAUGAUCCUUCUUUUGUAGCAUGCAUGAUUAUUUUUGCACCUACUAAUAAAGGUUUAGAUGUAUUGGACUUACAUACUUCUAUUUUACUAACGUGAUCUUAAAUUAUACUAUCAAAAAAGUUAAGGUUAUAAUAAAUCUAAUCUAUUUGAGGGUUAUAUUUUUCUAGCCAUGAUAAUCUUAAAAUAAUCGGAUUAGAGGGAGAUUUUAUUACAUUAAAUACUACUAUGCUAUUAUAAACUUUAAUUGCUAUAUCUAAAGGAAUAUUUUCAUGGGUAAUAUUUCCAAAAGACAACAAACGACCAUCUAUGACUUGUACAUGUACGGUGUUGUGUUGUAGUUUGGCUAUUAUAUGAAAAUAAUGUAAUUAUAUACUUAAUAUAUAAUUUACUAAGUAACAUAGUGAGAGCCAUGUUAGUAGAUUUUAGUUGGUUAUAGAAUAUAAUUUGAUUAUUACCUUGAGAAGAGGUUCAUUAAAAAGAUUACUAUAGAAUUUUUAUAACUUUAAUUUCUUUUUUGAUAGUGACUUUUAAGAUUGGUUUUGGUUGAUAGUAACUUCUAAAUAUUUAGAAUCACCUUUGUUAGACAUUGGUGACCUUUGAAAACUUCUUUUGGUUCUUUUAUUUGGUGUUUAGAGCAUAAAUUAUGUAAAUAUUAUAAGAAAAAAGAUUGAAGAAGGGUUUUGGGAGCAAAAGGAGUAAUUAAGGCACCAAUAUAGAUGAAUGGAGAUGGAUGAUUAAAAUCUACAUUCUUAUUGGUCAAAAAUCAUGACCAAUGGACUUUGAGGAGGCUGCUCGAGGCCAUAUUAGAUAUUAGGGUUAGUUUUUCAGUCCAUUUGAGCUUUGAGGGCUAAGGUCAGCAAGUUUAGGUUUUUGGCUAUGGUUUUGGUACAAGUUUUGUAUGCUUUGGACUUCAUAUGAAGGAGAUACAAGCACUCAAAGUUAAGGUGUUGAUUUGGGAGCUACUGUCUUUCUUUUUGGCAUAACGCAUGCAUAUGGUGUCAUAAUGUGUGAAGUCUUGCUUGAAAAUGCUCCGGACACCUGGCUGUAGAAGGAAGAAUAGAAAUUGCGAUAACAAAAUCCUAAAUAGAAUACUAACAAUGCUCUAAUUAGACUAUAAUAAUGGUAAACAAACGUAAUCAAAUUCAAAACAACUCAAAGAAAUUUCAAACAAACAAUAAAAUUCUUAAAGAAAUAUUAGAAUGAUCACAAAUUUUAUUCAAAUAUAUGUCAAUUCAACCUUAAUUUAAUUCUAGUUAAAACCCUAUUAAAUUUCACUCAAUUUUAGAUCAAACCUAAUUAAAUCUUAAACCCUAAUAAUUCCUAAAUCCUAAGUCAAAUCCUAAAAAAAUCUUAAAUUAAAUCCUAUUCCAAACCCUAAAUCAAACCCUAAAUCAAAUCCUAAUCCAAUCCUAAACCCUAAACCAAACCUUAAAUCAAAUCCUAACCAAACCCUAAUCCAAACCUUAAAUCAAACCCUAAUCAAAUCCUAAACCAUAAUCCAAAUCCUAAUCCAACCCUAAACUCUAAUCCAAACCCUAAAUCCUAAACCAAAUCUUAAAUCAAAUCCUAAUCAAAUCCUAAUCCAAACCCUAAUCCAAACCCUAACCAAAUCCUAAAUCCUAAUCUAAAUCCUAAUCCAACCCUAAACUCUAAUCCAAACCCUAAAUCCUAAACCAAAUCUUAAAUCAAAUCCUAACCAAACUCUAAUCCAAACCCUAAAUCAAACCCUAACCAAAUCCUAAAUCCUAAUCCAAACCCUAGCCAAACCCUAAUCCAAACCCUAAUCCAAAUCCUAAACCGAACCCUAGCCAAAUCCUAAUAAUUUCUAUGACAGAUUUAAACCUCAAUAUCUAAUG
RNAcentral lists this long non-coding RNA (77446 nucleotides) under Physcomitrium patens. RNAcentral's name for it is "long non-coding RNA (PPAT_LNC013781)". Lineage: Eukaryota; Viridiplantae; Streptophyta; Bryopsida; Funariales; Funariaceae. The record is from RNAcentral.